AUGCUCUUACCCGGGCCUGCAACCUCAUCAGUUGCAAUGUUUAUGGCUGUUGCAAUCUGGGGUUCCUCCACUGGGACCGUUUUGCCAUUGUACUCCAAGUAGAGCUCUAGCCCUUGCCUUGCAUGGUUCUGCAACCUGAUUAUAAGAGGUACCCUGGUGCAAAUGCCCUGGCUACGAGGAAGGUUAACACCAGCCAAGGAUUCAAGAACACUAGACUUGCCUGAUGACUGGUCUCCAACCACAACAAUUGUGGGGAGCUGUAUGCCUUCUUUCAUCACCAUGAGCAGCCUGAGCCUGUCGAUGACAUCAAGCAAAGGUCGGAUUUUGUCAUUGUAUGAUGAAAUAAUUGGGGCUUGGGCUGCUGCUGCUCCCACCACCUUAGGUUCUUCCAUAGGAGGAGUUGCUGGUUGAGAAUCUUCAUAAUCAUUGAUGACACCAAUGCUCCCUGAAUCAGCUUCAUCAUAGCUACCCAUUUUUUAGAAGUCGAGACAGGAUGGGAAUUGGCCAAACUUGAUGUUUUAGAUGGUUUUUUUUGUUGGAAGUUGGAAAGCAAUAAACUUGAACUAAAGUGAAGACAAAUUCAAUGAAGCAUGUUUGGCUUUAUAAUGAAAAUUAAAAUAGGGUAAAGCACCGAAAUUAGGAACAAUAAAGCGAUAGCAUCCUAUACCAAACCCCAAGAAACAAGCAAACGAAGCUACAAUGGGAAUGGAAAACUUUAUGUUAUACUUUGAAUUGUAGAAAAUAAUGAUACAAGGACAGAAGAGAGGAAACAGAACAAAAUCAAAUCGUGACCAACCAAAAGAUGAGUGUGUCGAUGACAGAAAGUUCGAAACAUAAACAGCCCCACAAGUUCCUACAGGAACUAGACAGCAGAACUAUAUGAAACAAUGUAUUCACAUUGAAGUUUCGGAUAGAUGCCACGUACAAGCCAUGUUGCCAUUACCUCAUAUGCUCUUUGUGUCAAAUGAGCUCCAUCCCAACUAAGCUGUUCAUUAGGGUUUUCGCAUACCGGUACUUUUGGAUCUCCGCACCAACUUGAUAAGCCAGAAUUGUAGUCUUCCCCAAUUCCGCAGCAAGCUUUUUGCAAUGAUGUUGGAUCAAAACCAGAUGAGAUUUUUCGAAAACUCAGAACAUGACUAGAACCAUUCACAGUACGAUCACAUAAACUUAUGGAUGCAAAUAAAUCAGACUUACCAAGCAGAUCAGCUUUGCUCAAAAGCCACAGGAAUGCAUUGUAGUAGUCACCGUAGACAACGAUUACAUCUGGAUGUUUUUCUUUUAGCUGAUCAGCAAUAGCUUGUUGAAGAAGAUGAUUAUGAUAGAUUGAAAAAAAGGCUUGACUUCGUCCCUUUCGUAUACCUACUCUAAGACAAAAAAAAAAUCAUUUUAUUAAUUAAGCUUUUUGUUUAUUAAUAAUUUGUUUUUUUUUCAAAUUCAUUAAAUACAAUUAAAAACAUUUGGAAGAAAAAUCUAAUGGUAGACUAGAUAUAGUUAAGAUAAUAUCUAACAGAGAGAUCGAUGUUCGAGUAUUUGUUGAAGUUCCUACGUAACUUUUAAUAAUUUUACAAACGGAUAGAGAUAAUAGUUUAUUCGAACAUUUAUUUUUAAUAGAGUGAAGAAACCCAAUUAUUUAAUUUAUGGGUAAACUACAUAAAGGGUAACACAAGUAUAAAAAGUUACAAAAUGUUCAUCUAACUAUUCAAUAUUGUUUUUUUAGAUCACCCGGCUAACGGUGGCUACUUUUAAAAUUUGAAUAAUAGAAAUUUAACCCUCAACACUUAUAUAUUGUAUCAAUUUAGUCUUGAUUCUAAAAAAAAAUUUAACUCUCAACAUUUACACAUUGUAUAAUUUGGUCUCUCUUUUUGUAAUUUUGCUUUUCUUUGUGACAUUUAGUGUUAAUUUUAAAAGAAUAAGAAAAGAAAAAAAAUAUUAUCUUAGAUUUCUGGGUGCUCCUAUUUUUUAUAUAUUUUUAAUCAAAUUUAACUGAUAAAUUUAUUUUUAACUUUUUAAGUGAAAGGGUAAAGAAAAACAAAGUUGUACUAGAAAAAAGAAGAUCAAACUACCCAAUGUAUAAAUGUUGAUAGUUAAUUAUUUCUGGAAUCAAGAUUAAAUUGACAUAAUUUAUAAAUAUUGAGGGUUAAAGUUGAUAUUAUGCGAAUAUUAAAAGUUGCCACCGAUGAUCAGUAACCAAAAAAGACAAAACUGAAUAACUUAGUGAUCAUUUUGUAACUCUUCAUAAAUUUUAGUACAAAAUUAAGUGAAUGUUAACGUGUUUGAGGCAAAUCUCGAUGAACAUGUCAUGCAACGCAUAGCUAAAGGGGUAGAUAAGAGCUUUAGACCUCUUUUAGUUAAAUGGUAUCAUUAUGAUUAUAGUGCCUCUUAAAUGUCAAUUGUUUAAUUUAGUUCCUUUCUAGCUUUUAUUUAAAUGGAACAAUUGUAAUUUAGACCCUUUUCAAAUGUUUAAAUUUAAUUUCAGUUAUUUUAACGUAAAAUAUUUUAGCUUUGUCCCCUAUUUUUUUAAUUUUAUCUUGGCUCUUCAUCACAUAAUUCAUGACUGACAUAUAUGCCAUAGGUCAUAAGAUUGAGUCAAACUAUGCAAAAACUCUUUAGUUUCACCUGUUUGAGCACUUCAAGGCGUUCUCACUCUCUAAACCCACCAAGGAUCUAGACAAAGUCGGGAGACAAAACUCCGACUGGGGACAAUACUGGACUUGCUUAUAUCUGCUUUAUAGUUGUAUUUGUAGCAUACAAUGUAUAUUUUGUCAAAUUUGAAUACUUCUUGUUUGCUUGUCUAUUAUUCUUUUGAUAGAAGAUACAACUUUCUUUAUUUGUAUGUCCAUAUAAUUUGUUACAUUCGAUCUGUGAACCAUAUUUGACCUUCAUAUUGUCAACCAUGCCACUUGUUCAAUGGAAAAUUACCUUUGUUGAUUUGUUCUUGGUUGACAUUAAGUUCAAGGUUCGAAUCAGGAAAACCAAUCUCUCUCCCCUUAUUAUAUUUAUGUAUAUACAUGUAUUUGACCUUCAUGUUUGUUGGUGAGAAAAUGGUACAGAGUAAAUUGAAUUUUGCUUUUUGUUUGGUGUGUUUCCUAGGGAAAGCUUUAUGGAAGCCAACAAGAAUGGAAAUUUGGUUGAUGUUGAUCGGAAGGCGUUCGAAACUUGGAAAAAAUGAGCGAGGAGGUAUAGGUCCCUUGCUCCUCCCACUUUGUCAUAACUUUUCAUUGGAAGUUUUCUGUUGUAAUUUUGUAUUGAGUAUCGUCCCGAGUAUUUUCUUUAAUAGGAGAGGAAACCAUAUGUUACUCAGCCUACAUGAAGGAUAUGACUGAAGCGGAUAAAAAUAUUGUAAAGGUAACUGGGAUUCAGAGUUUAUGGAUGCUAAUUUCGUAUAAUUUAAACUUUCUAGAGCGACCUAAAUAUGUUGUUGGUGUAAUUGGUGAAAUUGUUUGUUGUGCUUUCAUAGCAAUGCUGAUACAUUCUGAAUAUUUGAUCAUGGAACUUGUUCCGUAGAUUCUUAAUUCAGAACUAUGAAUAGGGGCAUACUAAGGCAUACUAAAGAUGCAUGAUUUUGAACUCAUGAUCCUCUCAUCUUUACAUAAUCUAUGUUGCCACUCGGUUUUCUCCCUAUCGUUGUCAAUUAUUGUCAUCACAAUUGCUUUUCAAUGAUUUUUUCAGUUAGAAUUAGUAUCUUUUCCUUGUUUUGUCCACAAAAGCAAGAAUGAUAUAUGAUAGCUGUGAUUUAUCUGACAAUUAGCUUCUCUAAAUCUUUCACCCUAAUCAAUUGUCAAAAAUUUGCUGUUCUAGUGCUUAUUGGCUUCUCGUUUUUAACUUGAAAGUUAACUUAUCUAUUGUUCAAACAUCAAAAUGGAACAAAGUUUUGCAUCAUAUUCGAAGUUAUUAAUGAGUUAUUUUCUUUAGGUGGAUGAUGAGGCUGAUUCAGCAAUGGUUGGGAAAUUUGAUGAGGUUUGUAUAUAUGUUUGGAGCACAAAAAACAUAGCAAAUAUAGAUAAAUUUACGUAUUGUAUAUCUACUUGUGCUUAAACUAAGUCAUUCCCCUGCCAGUUGAGGCUCUGAAACCUUUGGGCACUGAAGUUCGAGUUUCACUAUGUAAAUCAUGUGUUGGUUCUCCCCCAGAUUUAUUUUGUUUACUUAGUUAGAGUUGAGUUAGCUUCAGUGAAUGUAACGAUUGAUUAUGUUAGUUCCCCCCUCUUUUGCCACCUCUUCUUCGUUGAAUUUACAGUUCUAUGAAGAUUAUGGGUACUAUGAAACAUCUGAUGAUGAUGGUGAACCAUACCACUCUGGAGGAUUCAAGAGCUUAAACACAACUGAACAGUAAUCGAAGUCUUCCCCACAUUUCAGUUCAAUUACCUAACUUAACCGCAAUCAUAUAUUGUGCACAAGACCGAUAAGUUAUGGCUUUCAUGAAGCAGGGAAACUGCUAUCGAGGGCGGAACUUGAAGAUGUUCUGGUUUUUGUUUCAUGUCAAUGGACCUUAUCCAACUGGCAAUGGUGGAAAAAAAAAGUUUGCCAUUUUGAUUCAUUUGUUAAGGCAAAUCAUUUGGCUAUUGUAAAGUAGUUAUAGGGGUUUUAGCCUUCGAAGCAGAUUGGUAUUUGUUUUGCUAUUUGGCAGUGGCAGUGGCAAUGGCAAUGGGGGUUUCACAGGUGAGUGGCAAGGGCUAUAGAGGAAGCAUCAUUUUGUCUAUAUUUUUUUAGUUUUAUGGAAUUUGGUUGAUGGAAUAGGUGAUAUGUUGGGUUGGAUAAAAUAAUCUAUAUUUUAUUGAAGUUAUGUUUGUUUUUAUCUGUUAGAAAAUUGAAGAAUGAUAUUAGAAAAUAUUUAGUCAAAUAAUUUGUAUUAAUAAUAGUUAAUUAUGCCUUUGUGGCUAAGCUCAUGGAAAUCAUUUAAAAAUAAAAUCUAAUAAAUAAUUAAACAUAUGAUUUAAAAUUAAUAAUAAUAACAAAGUAAUAUGUACGAAAUUUAAAUAGGUAAAUACAUUUGAUUAAGCUUUAUGUUCUGUUCUAAAUUUGGUUUCUUAAUACUUCUUCUGAAUAAGUUGGUGUCGAGUUGAUUCAUGAUACCAAUUUAGUCACAUGGUUAAAUAACUAUAUAGAUACAAAAGUUAAAUAUUUAAGAUGAUUGAUGCCUUCUGAACAUAACACCAUUUAAAUUUAUAUAAAUGUAUGAAAAUACGAAAAAUACUCAAUAACAAUAUUUAUUAAUAAUUUAAAUUUUGAUUUUUUUUAGUUUUCUUUUAUUCAAUUGGUGUCAAGUUAAAUCGUGACGCUGAUUCAGUUACAAUAUAUAGAAUAUGACGUGAGUGACAGACCAAUUUUAUUUAAAAUUUUAAUAUAAAAUAACAAUAAAGGUUUGAUUGAAACGGAAAAAUUAAAGAUUUAAGUUGCUUGAUGUCUUAUGUAAAGGUUUAAAUCGCAUCAUUUGCUUAUUUCCUUAAGUUUAAGUUGUUCCUUAUAACUUUUAUAAAAAUGUGUGAAAAUACAAAAACACCCUAUGAUAAUGUUUAUUAAUUGUUUAAAAUUUGAGUUUUUAGUACUUCUCUAAUUAAAUUAGUGUCGAGUUGAUUCGUAACAUCAACUCAAUCACACUUAAAUUAAAGUUUCCAUACAUAGAACACCAGGUGGGUGAGAGUGAUAGACGAGAUUUAUGAAAAAAAUUCAUGUAAAAUAACAAUGAAGUUUCGGUUAAAAUAAUAAAUUUAAUUUGUAAUAUUUAUAAUGAUAAAUUUACACAGAAUACUUGCCAUUUGCAUAUUUUUUAUAAGUUUAUUUUAUUUUUUAAAAUAAAGUUUAUAUAAAGGUAUGAAAUGCAAAACUACCUUAUAAUAAUAUUUAUUAAUCGUUAAAAUUUUGAUUUUUUUAAUACUUUGUCUAAUCGAGUUGGUGUCGAGUUAGUCAAUGAUAUAAUUUAGACAUAUAAUUAGACAACAGUGUAAAAGUGUAGAUACAUAGAUCACAAUGCGCGUGAUAAGCAAAUUUUAUGUAAAAAAAAACUCAUAUAAAUAUUAUAUUAAUAGAUGAGAACAUCUGUAUUUAAUAAUUAGACAACAGUGUAAAAAUGUAGACACAUAGAUUACAAUGGGCGUGAUAAGCAAAUUUUAUGUAAAAAAACUCAUAUAAAUAUUAUAUUAAUAGAUGAGAACAUCAGUAUUUAAAAAAAAAAAUCCAGAAAGCUGAUUGCAUACCAAGGCUUGGAACAUGGCAAUCAUGGUACACAAAAAAGCCAAAAAAAAUUUAGCAAUAAGAUUUCAUAAAGAUAUAAAUUGUUUACAACAGUAAAUUAACACAAGAAAAUAAAAAUAAAACAAAGUAGAAAACUAACCCCCACCCCCAAUUUGCCGUCCACAGUAGUUGUGACCUUAUUAUAUAAUCUUCAAUCCUUAAUAAUCUAUACUAUAUAUAUAGAACACAGACACUUAAAACAUGCAAUAAGCAAACCAUGAUAAUGACCCAAAUUUUAUGUGAAAAUAUUAAACCAAGCAAGCAUCAUAAGCAACAAUCCCAUCCAUGAUCUUGGCCACACUAUCUUUGGACUCCUUUAACACCUUGAUGCUGUUUUUAAGCUUCUCACGCUUUGCAACAAUGGCAGGAGAUUCCACCAGCAUCAUCUUUAUCCCAUGUCCAUCUGGUCCCAUCAGCUCCUUCACAAUCUCAUCAAUGUCAUUGUGUACAAGAUUAUGAACAUGGUAUCGUAAAUGCAAUGCCAUGGAAUCAACCAAUCUCACCUUAAAUACCUUCCAAUAAGCAACCAUUCUCAUCUUCAGGUCGAAAGCUUGUUGCAGGAUCGAAACAUCCGAGUGUUUUCUGAGAUGUUCGAUUUGGAUUUCCCCUAAACCUUCGAGAUCCACACUGCAAGGCAGCGGCCGCAUGUUUGUUCCAGAUAUUUGGUUCAUGAAAUGGUCUUGUUGCUUCAUGAGCUUAUUCCACUCCAUCAUGUAAUCAGGGUUACAUGUGUAGCCUGUUAGCUUCUCCAUUUCUACAAUCUCUUUCACCCUAUUGAUUGAUUGCUCCCUCAGCUUUUGAACAAGGUUGUGAGCAGCUCCUUUUGCGGAUACCUUGAGGUGAUAAUACAUUUCCGAGUGGCGCGUCAAAACAGACAUCACCACAUCGUCUAUGUAAUCCCAAUACUUUUCGCUGAGUUUGAUAGGGAGAUACGAUAUCCUCUCGACUUUUCUCCGUAAGAUACGAAGGAAUGCUUCACAGGGAAGGAAGUUCGGUAGUUCGAUCCCCCUAGCAUCUUCCAAACCCUUGAUCUCUUCUGUUAAAAAGUCUUUUGAUAGAUUACUUUCCUCGCAGUUGUGAAGCUCAUCGGAGAACCGGUUCAGCAUUUCAACAAACCGAGCAGUCCCGUGCUUCGUGUUGUCCUCGGGGUAUUCAUCAAAUUCCCCCCUCCAAAGAAGUUUCUUCAGGGAUUCUUUAGCUGCUUGAAUGAUCCUCAUCAUAGCUUGAGUGGCAUCAGCAAUAGAAGUUAAGGCCUUUGGCAUUUUCUCUAGCUCUGAAACAUUUGCAUCCAGCUUUGCACUAAUGUUUUUAACAAUCUCUGGCAAGCACUUUGCAAUCGCAUUAGCUUGAAUUCGGACAAGAUUUUGAGCCAAAACAUGAACCCCCACAAUUGAUUUAUCAAUACGUGACAAAUGUGCAUUAGUUUCGAACAAUCUAGCCUCUUCCUUCCUUGCCUCUUCAUAGGAUUCAUCACCAAUCCGAUUCCGAACACAAACAUAACCAAGUCCUAUAUUCACAUCAUCUGCAGUAACCUUGUCAACAAGCCCUUCGGGGGCCCUAUCUACUUUAGUAACCACGGCAAGAGUUCUCUCACCAUUCUUGUCCACUUGUUGCGACAUCCUAAUGGAUUCACAAGUUGAAAAAUCAACCGUAGCCGACAGAACAUUAAGGAUAAUGCUUUCCUUUGGUGUUAUGUACUGCAUGAUGAUGUCCCGGAUCUGCUCAUAUAUGUUGUCGGGCUGACCAUGGACAGGAACUCUGGUAAUUCCAGGAAGAUCAACCAUGGUAAGAUCAGGAACCCCAUCUUUUCUCACCACCAAAGUCAAAGGGAUGUCAGAUAUGCUCUUACCCGGGCCUGCAACCUCAUCCGUUGCAAUGUUUAUGGCUGUUGCAAUCUGGGGUUCCUCCACUGGGACCGUUUUGCCAUUGUACUCCAAGUAGAGCUCUGGCCUUGGACUUGCAUGGUUCUGCAACCUGAUUAUGAGAGGUACCCUGGUGCAAAUGCCCUGGCUACGAGGAAGGUUAACACCAGCCAAGGAUUCAAGAACACUAGACUUGCCUGAUGACUGGUCUCCAACCACAACAAUUGUGGGGAGCUGUAUGCCUUCUUUCAUCACCAUGAGCAGCCUGAGCCUGUCGAUGACGUCAAGCAAAGGUCGGAUUUUGUCAUUGUAUGAUGAAAUAAUUGGGGCUUGAACUGCUGCUGCUCCCACCACCUUAGGUUCUUCCAUAGAAGGAGUUGCUGGUUGAGAAUCUUCAUAAUCAUUGAUGACACCAAUGGUCCCUGAAUCAGCUUCAUCAUAGCUUCCCAUUUUCUAGAAGUCGAGACAGGACGGGAAUUGGCCAAACUUGAUGUUUUAGAUGGUUUUUUUUGUUGGAAGUUGGAAAGCAAUAAACUUGAACUAAAGUGAAGACAAAUUCAAUGAAGCAUGUUUGGCUUUAUAAUGAAAAUUAAAAUAGGGUAAAGCACCAAAAAUAGGAACAAUAAAGCGAUAUCAUCCGAUACGAUUACAUCUGGAAGUUUUUCUUUUAGCUCAGCAAUAGCUUGUUGAAGAAGUUGAUUAUGAUAGAUUUAAAAAUUAUUCAACUCCUUUAAAAUUAUAUAAUUUAAUUUUGGCCUAAAAAAAAAAAAGUCUUGACUUCGUCCCUUUCGUAUACCGACUCUAAGACAAAAAAAAUCAUUUUAUUAAUUAAGCUUUUUUGUUUAUUAAUAAUUUGUUUUUUUCAAAUUCAUUAAAUACAAUUAAAAAUAUUUGAAAGAAAAAUCUAGUCGUAGAUCAGAUAAUUAAAAUAAUAUCUAGCAGAGAGGUCGAUGUUCGAGUAUUUGUUAAAAUUCUUAGGUAACUAGAGGUAAUAAUUUAUUUGAUCAUUUAUUUUUAAUAGAGUGAGGAAACUCAAUUAUCUCUAUUUUUAAUAGAGCGAUUUUUGUUUUUACAUGAAGAAUUUCGUGGAAUUUUGUAUCGUGGAAAAUGGAAAUCAAUGGAAAAGGACGAUAAGGCUGGGUUUGUCUGUCGUACGGCCUGCCUUUGUCUGAAACUUGCUUACGAAGGAGUUAGUGGGGUUAUCCGCUGUGCUCAAUCUUAAAAAACAAUAUUUAACACCUGCAUUUUCCACUUAUCUCAGUGAUAAUGCGAUAAUUGGAAAAUUUUACAAAUUUACAAAAAAAAAAUAUAAAUAAAAUUAUAAAAAGUAUACAUAAUUUUGAAAAUAAAUGAUCAUUGGCUUCAUUUUGAUAUUUUAACCUUUAAUCAUUUUAUUUUAUAUAAAAAAAUUAAACUGAUAAAAAAUUGAUUUCAAAUUAUUUUUAUUUUUAUUUUCCAAUUUUUAGUGUAAAUAUUGAUUUUUGUGUAAUUUUUUGUACUUCAAUUGUUAAAGUAUGUAGUUUGAUACAUAAUUAUUGUUGUUAAUUUAUGAUUGCUAUGAAUGGGAUGCAUUGGGUUUGAAAUAUUUUAAGUAAAUUAUCAAAUUUUAUAACAUUAGUUAAAAUUAAAAGAAUAUAUAUUUACUCUCUUUUUUUUCUUUGGAUCUUGCUUUGUGGAUUAGAUAACAAAUAUUGGUGUUUGAUUAUGUUUGAUAAUAUCUACUUUUUUUUAUACAAUUUCUAGAAGUACUUGUAGCCCCUCUUAAGCCAUAAGUAGAAGGUUAAUAUGCUUCAGCGCACAAAAACUUACAUGUCUUCCUGCAUUGGCAAUUGAGUUUGUAAUAGCCAAUUUUUGCCCGACCCACUAAGAAAACAAACAAUAAAACAAACAAAAAAAUAAAGUCCCAAAAUUACAACAAACAAAACCAGGCCUAAAAUUAAACAAACCCAACAGGCCCAAAAAUUUUAAAAAAAAACUUAGCCCAAACAGCAUUAACAUUUGCAGCAGAAAGGAGCAAACCCUAGCCCCCAAGCCUCCAGCGCCGCAAGAACCAAGCUCCCUCACGCACACCACCACCGCUGCUAGCCAAUCGUUGGCCUUCCACGCGCGUCAGACCUCUUGCAAAGAGAAAUCAAUGCAAGACGGUAGAAACAAUAACAAAACGACAAAAAAAUAUAACUUAUGAGUCUUGUAACUUGGCUAUAAAAGCCGAAGUAUCCUCUUUGUAACUUUUUUACACACACUAGAAAUCAAAAGCCGAAUAGAAAUCUUAAAAGGUUGACCCUUUACUAUUUCUACUACGUUUUCUUGUUUUUCUUUUCUUUUCUUUAUCUAUUUUCUUUUAUUUUAUUUUUUACAAAUCCAUUUUAAAUAAUUAUAAUAAAAAUCAAAAUAAAGAAAAGGAAAGGAAAACCUUACCUGGAACCGCCGCGUGGCCCUGUUGACGGAGGUCCCUUUGCCGUCGUCGGAGUCGAGCUAAAAGGGGUGGUUAGAUUCCUCCUUUUUCUUUCGGCCUCUCAUCACCGGUACCGUCCACCGGACUUAAAAGGGGGUUAAAAGCCCCGUCUUUCGCCACUGCCCGUCGACCAUGGCGGCGGCGCUCUCUGCUAAUCAGAGAAAGUGAGGGGAGAGUAGAGAAAAUGAGAGUUUUAGGGUUUUUUUUAAGUUUAAAAAAAAUUGAUUUUAUAAGACAUUGAAAAGGCGUCGUUUCAGCAGGCCUCCCCAGGCGCCAAAACAGUGUCGUUUUGGGGAGGCCAACCUGUGACCCGACCUGCAGCCCACAGGAUCCGAGUGUUUUUGCAGUGAAUGGGAAAAUUGUGCGCGAGGUCCCUCCAUCUUGUGCCUGAAGUGCAAUUUGACUCUUUUUAUUUUUUUUGAUUUGGGCCGCGAAUUUUGUGUCUAUUUCAAUCUACCCUUUUGGCCAUAUGCGGUCUUUUGCAUUGAAACGCUGCGCUCUAGGACUGGGGCAUAUUGCACGAUCAGUCCUCCAGCCUUUAAGCGCAUUCAAUUUCAGCCCCCAUAGCAACCUGUUUUAUUUAUUUGCAAUUUAUACCCGAAUUUCGUUUCAAUUUCAAUUCGAUCCUUAGUCAUUUAGUUAUUUAUUUUUUAAAAUAAAAGGGGGCUGUUUUAUUUGAUUUUUUUUUUACUUAUUUAGUAGAUUUCAACCCUUUUUAAGUCAGAUUUAUAUUAGUUUAUUUAUUUACUUGCUUCUUAUUUUCCUUUUAGGUUGGCUUGUUAUUUUACUUUUUGCCCUUCUUCUUCUUCUUCUUCUUCUUCUUCUUCUUCUUCUUCUUCUUCUUCUUCUUCUUCUUCUUCUUCUUCUUCUUAUUAUUAUUAUUAUUAUUAUUAUUAUUAUUAUUAUUAUUAUUAUUAUUAUUGUUGUUGUUGUGGUUAUUAUUAUUAUUAUUAUUAUUAUUAUUGUUGUUGUUGUGGUUAUUAUUAUUAUUAUUAUUAUUAUUAUUAUUAUUACUACUGGCACCAUUCUCAUUAUUGUUUAUGCUUGUUAACUUUAUGAUUCGUUAACAUUAGUGUUAGGUAUGUUACAUUUUAUUAUGAACAUUACGUCAUGGUUAUUUAAAAUGAAUGUUGUACUAUCAUAUUUAGCCAUGUAUAACUCCUUUUACGUAUUAAACGAUUUCUAUAAAAAAUAAUAAAUUAAACGUACAUUUUUAUCCAAUUCAAAAAUUUCAAAAUAAGGUAAUAUUUAGCGUUUGAAAAUUUGAGAAAACGUGCCCUAACGUGCUGGGUUUCGAUUUUUCGUUCGACCAAAUCACUAAAUAUUCUCUUAAAUUUUCAAAGUACAGGUUUUGGGAACUAUAAGGUAAUCUUGGUUUCGAGGAUUAAAAUAUUGUAUCCUAACGUGUUGGAUGUAAUAUUCCUUCAAAACAAGAGAAUUCUAAAUUUCAACCCUUGUUAUUCGAGUUUUAUUUUUGGAUCGUAUUUUAAAAAAAAACUCCUCAAAGUUUUCAAUCUUCGACAUUUAGACAUCUAUUAAUUGAUUAGGUACCAAUUUUUGGGCGCAUUGAGGGUGCUAACCCUUCCUCCUGCGUAAUCGACUCCCGGACCCGAUUUCUUAAAAUAUCGUAAACCAAAAUCAUUGUUUUGAUAAAAUCGAAUUUUUUUGUUAAAACAACUAUUACGAGGUGAUCCGAUCACAUCUAAACAAAAAGGACCGGUGGCGACUCCAUUUUCGUUUUCACAAUUUAAAUCGACCCUAUUUUCAAAAAAAUAGUUUCGACAAUGUUUGUUUUUAUCUGUUAGAAAAUUCUAUUAAUAUAUUGAAGAAUGAUAUUACAGAAUAUUUAGUAAAAUAAUUUGUAUUAAUAAUAGUUAAUUAUGCCUUUGUGGCUAAGCUCAUGGAAAUCAUUUAAAAAUAAAAUCUAAUAAAUAAUUAAACAUAUGAUUUAAAAUUAAUAAUAAUAACAAAGUAAUAUGUAUGGAAUUUAAAUAGCUAAAUACAUUUGAUUAAGAUUUAUGUUUUGUUCUAAAUUUGGUUUCUUAAUACUUCUUCUGAAUAAGUUGGUAUUGAGUUGAUUCAUGAUACCAAUUUAGUCGCAUGGUUAAAUAACUAUAUAGGUAAAAAGUUAAAUAUUUAAGAUGAUCGAUGCCUUGUGAAAAUAACACCAUUUAAAUUUAUAUAAAUGCAUGAAAAUUACAAAAAAUACUCAAUAACAAUAUUUAUUAAUAAUUUAAAUUUUGAUUUUUUUAGUUUUCUUUUAUUCAAUUGGUGUCAAGUUAAAUCGUGACACUAACUCAGUCAGUCACACACUUAAAAAAUAAUAUAAAUACAUAGAAUAUGACGUGAGUGAUAGACCAAUUUUAUGUAAAAUUUUAAUAUAAAAUAACAAUAAAGGUUUGAUUGAAACGGAAAAAUUAAAUAUUUAAGUUGCUUGAUGUCUUAUGCAAAGGUUUAAAUCGCAUCAUUUGCUUAUUUCCCUAAGUUUAAGUUGUUCCUUAUAACUUUUAUAAAAAUGUGUGAAAAUACAAAAACACCCUAUGAUAAUGUUUAUUAAUUGUUUAAAAUUUGAGUUUUUAGUACUUUCUCUAAUUAAAUUAGUGUCGAGUUGAUUCGUAACAUCAACUCAAUCACACUUAAAUUAAAGUUUAGAUGCAUAGAACACCAGGUGAGUGAGAGUGAUAGACGUGAUUUAUGAAAAAAUUUCAUGUAAAAUAACAAUAAAGUUUUGGUUAAAAUAAUAAAUUUAAUUUGUAAUAUUUAAAAUGAUAAAUUUACACAUAGAAUACUUGCCAUUUGCAUAUUUUUCAUAAGUUUAUUUUAUUUUUUAAAAUAAAUUUUAUAUAAAGGUAUGAAAUGCAAAAGCACCUUCUAAUAACAUUUAUUAAUCGUUAAAAUUUUGAUUUUUUAAGUACUUUGCCUAAUCGAGUUGGUGUCGAGUUAGUCCAUGAUAUAACUGAUAUGAGCCAAGGAGGUGACACUCAAGGGGUUAUUUUUCCUUGUGGUCCAAUCACUCGAAGCAGGGCACGACAAUUAAAAUAAAAAAUGAAUGCUUUUGUCCAAGACUUUGUUGCUACAAAUUUAAGUCUUCAUGUUCGUGAGUUGACAAAUACGGGAAUGCAAUUCACUGGACCAAUCUUGGAAUAGUGAAAGCCCAUAAAUUGGUGGAUUAAUCUUUUAUGUAUCUUAUUAUUAUUAUUUAACUAAAACUUAUGAUAUUUUACAUGAGCAUUUUUAUUGGCCUAACAUGCGAAAACUUGUUGAGAAAAUUUGCUCUACUUGCAUUACAUGUAAACAAGCUAAAUCCACCGUGAUGCCUCAUGGUCUAUAUACUCCUCUUCCUAUUCCUAGUUCACAUUGGACUGACAUUUCAAUGGAUUUUGUAAUAGGUCUACCAAGGACAAAGCGUGGACGAGAUAGCAUCUUUGUGGUUGUGGAUCGAUUUUCUAAAAUGGCUCAUUUCAUUCCAUGCCACAAGACUGAUGAUGCAACCCAUGUUGCCGAUCUAUUUUUUCGUGAAGUUGUGAGAUUACAUGGAAUCCCAAGGACUAUCGUUUCCGAUAGAGAUGCAAAAUUUCUUAGUCACUUUUGGAAGGUGUUAUGGGGUAAGUUAGGUACUAAACUACUUUACUCUACUACAUGCCACCCUCAAACUGAUGGUCAAACCGAGGUGGUAAAUCGAGUUUUGGGAUCUUUGCUUAGAGCCAUAAUAGGUAAGAAUGUUAAAUCUUGGGAAGAAUGGAUACCCUAUGUUGAGUUUGCUUAUAAUCGUGCUGUUCAUUCUUCCACAGGUUUUACUCCUUUUGAGAUUGUAUAUGGCUUUAAUCCACUUACUGUUUUAGAUUUGCUUCCUUUACCUUUAAAUGAGAUUGCUAAUUUAGAUGGUGAAAGGAAAGCUGAUUUAGUGAAAGAGAUCCAUGAGAAGGCUCGUAAAGCCAUUGAGAAAAAGAAUGAGUCCAAUGCACAUCGAGCUAAUAAAGGGCGAAAGCAAGUCUUGUUUGAACCUGGAGAUUGGGUAUGGGUGCAUAUGAGGAAGGAACGAUUUCCUUCUAAGAGAAAGAAUAAACUUGAUGCACGAGGAGAUGGACCAUUCCAAGUACUCGAGAAAAUAAAUGACAAUGCUUAUCGCAUUGAUCUUCCUGGUGAGUAUAGUGUUAGUGCUACUUUCAAUGUUUCUGAUCUUUCUCCUUUUGAAUUUGAUGUAGGUUCAGAUUCAAGGACGAAUCUUCUUGAAGAGGGGGAGAAUGAUAUGAGCCAAGGAGGUGACACUCAAGGGGUUAUUUUUCCUUGUGGUCCAAUCACUCGAAGCAAGGCACGACAAUUAAAAUAAAAAAUGAAUGCUUUUGUCCAAGACUUUGUUGCUACAAAUUUAAGUCUUCAUGUUCGACGUUGACAAAUACGGGAAUGCAAUUCACUGGACCAAUUUUGAAAUAGUGAAAGCCCAUAAAUUGGUGGAUUAAUCUUUUAUGUAUCUUAUUAUUAUUAUUUAGUUAAUUUUAUUGGAUUAUUAUUUAUUUAUUUUCUUAUAUAAUUUUAAAGAAAUUUAUUAGGAUUCAAUUACUAUUGAAAGAGUUUUAUUAGGAUUCAAUUACACUUGUAAUUUGCCUAUAAAUAGGCUUACUUUCUACACAUUGAAGACAGAAUGAAAAAAGAGAUAAUUUAUUUUCUUCCAAAUUUGUGUGAGGCAAAUUUUUGUGAGUAGAGUGAUUCUUCUCUUGCUAUUUAGUUUGGAGUCUGUUACUUUCGAGGGUAUUUCGGAGUUACAAAUAUUCAAAUUUCUUUCCCGUUCAUCGGUGUUUCUAGAGGUUCUUCUUCUAGGGGUUUCGUAGGGAGCCGCUCAAUCAUUGGCGUUUUUGGUUACAAGUUAACCAAGGGUUCCAUAAGGCAAAUCUAUCAUUUUUAUUAUUUAUUUAUUAUUAUUUUAACUAAUUUUAUUUAUUCUCGUUUUAUUUCUAAUGUUUCUCUUGUGUCUAGAUCCAGGAUUCCGCAUCAAUAACUUAGACACAUAAUUAGACAACAGUGUAAAAGUGUAGAUACAUAAAUCACAAUAAGCGUGAUAAGUAAAUUGUAUGUAAAAAAACUCAUAUAAAUAUUAUAUUAAUAGAUGAGAACAUCUGUAUUUAAAAAAAAAUCCAGAAAGAUGAUUGCAUACCAAGGCUUGGAACAUUGCAAUCUUGGUACACAAAAAAGCAAAAAAAAAUUAAGCAAUAAGAUUUCAUAGAGCUAUAAAAUGUAUACAACAGUAAAUUAACACAAAAAAAAAAAACAAAGUAGAAAACUAACCCCCACCCCCCCAAUUUGCCGUCCACAGUAGUUGUGACCUUAUUAUAUAAUCUUCAAUUCUUAAUAAUCUAUACUAUAUAUGUAUAGAACACAGACACUUAAAACAUGCAAUAAGCAAACCAUGAUGAUGACCCAAAUUUUAUGUGAAAAUAUUAAACCAAGCAAGCAUCAUAAGCAACAAUCCUAUCCAUGAUCUUGGCCACACUAUCUUUGGACUCCUUUAACACCUUGAUGCUGUUUUUAAGCUUCUCACGCUUUGCAACAAUGGCAGGAGAUUCCACCAGCAUCAUCUUUAUCCCAUGUCCAUCUGGUCCCAUCAGCUCCUUCACAAUCUCAUCAAUGUCAUUGUGUACAAGAUUAUGAACAUGGUAUCGUAAAUGCAAUGCCAUGGAAUCAACCAAUCUCACCUUAAAUACCUUCCAAUAAGCAACCAUUCUCAUCUUCAGGUCGAAAGCUUGUUGCAGGAUCGAAACAUCCGAGUGUUUUCUAAGAUGUUCGAUUUGGAUUUCCCCUAAACCUUGGAGAUCCACACUGCAAGGCAGCGGCCGCAUGUUUGUUCCAGAUAUUUGGUUUAUGAAAUGGUCUUGUUGCUUCAUGAGCUUAUUCCACUCCAUCAUGUAAUCAGGGUUACAUGUAUAGCCUGUUAGCUUCUCCAUUUCUACAAUCUCUUUCACCCUAUUGAUUGAUUGCUCCCUCAGCUUUUGAACAAGGUUGUGAGCAGCUCCUUUCGCGGAUACCUUGAGGUGAUAAUACAUUUCCGAGUGGCGCGUCAAAACAGACAUCACCACAUCGUCUAUGUAAUCCCAAUACUUUUCGCUGAGUUUGAUAGGGAGAUACGAUAUCCUCUCGACUUUUCUCCGUAAGAUACGAAGGACUGCUUCACAGGGAAGGAAGUUCGGUAGUUCGAUCCCCCUAGCAUCUUCCAAACCCUUGAUCUCUUCUGUUAAAAAGUCUUUUGAUAGAUUACUUUCCUCGCAGUUGUGAAGCUCAUCGGAGAACCGGUUCAGCAUUUCAACAAACCGAGCAGUCCCGUGCUUCGUGUUGUCCUCGGGGUAUUCAUCAAAUUCCCCCCUCCAAAGAAGUUUCUUCAGGGAUUCUUUAGCUGCUUGAAUGAUCCUCAUCAUAGCUUGAGUGGCAUCAGCAAUAGAAGUUAAGGCCUUUGGCAUUUUCUCUAGCUCUGAAACAUUUGCAUCCAGCUUUGCACUAAUGUUUUUAACAAUCUCUGGCAAGCACUUUGCAAUUGCAUUAGCUUGAAUUCGGACAAGCUUUUGAGCCAAAACAUGAACACCCACAAUUGAUUUAUCAAUACGUGACAAAUGUGCAUUAGUUUCGAACAAUCUAGCCUCUUCCUUCCUUGCUUCUUCAUAGGAUUCAUCACCAAUCCGAUUCCGAACACAAACAUAACCAAGUCCUAUAUUCACAUCAUCUGCAGUAACCUUGUCAACAAGCCCUUCGGGGGCCCUAUCUACUUUAGUAACCACGGCAAGAGUUCUCUCACCAUUCUUGUCCACUUGUUGCGACAUCCUAAUGGAUUCACAAGUUGAAAAAUCAACCGUAGCCGACAGAACAUUAAGGAUAAUGCUUUCCUUUGGUGUUAUGUACUGCAUGAUGAUGUCCCGGAUCUGCUCAUAUAUGUUGUCGGGCUGACCAUGGACAGGAACUCUGGUAAUUCCAGGAAGAUCAACCAUGGUAAGAUCAGGAACCCCAUCUUUUCUCACCACCAAAGUCAAAGGGAUGUCAGAUAUGCUCUUACCCGGGCCUGCAACCUCAUCAGUUGCAAUGUUUAUGGCUGUUGCAAUCUGGGGUUCCUCCACUGGGACCGUUUUGCCAUUGUACUCCAAGUAGAGCUCUAGCCCUUGCCUUGCAUGGUUCUGCAACCUGAUUAUAAGAGGUACCCUGGUGCAAAUGCCCUGGCUACGAGGAAGGUUAACACCAGCCAAGGAUUCAAGAACACUAGACUUGCCUGAUGACUGGUCUCCAACCACAACAAUUGUGGGGAGCUGUAUGCCUUCUUUCAUCACCAUGAGCAGCCUGAGCCUGUCGAUGACAUCAAGCAAAGGUCGGAUUUUGUCAUUGUAUGAUGAAAUAAUUGGGGCUUGGGCUGCUGCUGCUCCCACCACCUUAGGUUCUUCCAUAGGAGGAGUUGCUGGUUGAGAAUCUUCAUAAUCAUUGAUGACACCAAUGCUCCCUGAAUCAGCUUCAUCAUAGCUACCCAUUUUUUAGAAGUCGAGACAGGAUGGGAAUUGGCCAAACUUGAUGUUUUAGAUGGUUUUUUUUGUUGGAAGUUGGAAAGCAAUAAACUUGAACUAAAGUGAAGACAAAUUCAAUGAAGCAUGUUUGGCUUUAUAAUGAAAAUUAAAAUAGGGUAAAGCACCGAAAUUAGGAACAAUAAAGCGAUAGCAUCCUAUACCAAACCCCAAGAAACAAGCAAACGAAGCUACAAUGGGAAUGGAAAACUUUAUGUUAUACUUUGAAUUGUAGAAAAUAAUGAUACAAGGACAGAAGAGAGGAAACAGAACAAAAUCAAAUCGUGACCAACCAAAAGAUGAGUGUGUCGAUGACAGAAAGUUCGAAACAUAAACAGCCCCACAAGUUCCUACAGGAACUAGACAGCAGAACUAUAUGAAACAAUGUAUUCACAUUGAAGUUUCGGAUAGAUGCCACGUACAAGCCAUGUUGCCAUUACCUCAUAUGCUCUUUGUGUCAAAUGAGCUCCAUCCCAACUAAGCUGUUCAUUAGGGUUUUCGCAUACCGGUACUUUUGGAUCUCCGCACCAACUUGAUAAGCCAGAAUUGUAGUCUUCCCCAAUUCCGCAGCAAGCUUUUUGCAAUGAUGUUGGAUCAAAACCAGAUGAGAUUUUUCGAAAACUCAGAACAUGACUAGAACCAUUCACAGUACGAUCACAUAAACUUAUGGAUGCAAAUAAAUCAGACUUACCAAGCAGAUCAGCUUUGCUCAAAAGCCACAGGAAUGCAUUGUAGUAGUCACCGUAGACAACGAUUACAUCUGGAUGUUUUUCUUUUAGCUGAUCAGCAAUAGCUUGUUGAAGAAGAUGAUUAUGAUAGAUUGAAAAAAAGGCUUGACUUCGUCCCUUUCGUAUACCUACUCUAAGACAAAAAAAAAUCAUUUUAUUAAUUAAGCUUUUUGUUUAUUAAUAAUUUGUUUUUUUUUCAAAUUCAUUAAAUACAAUUAAAAACAUUUGGAAGAAAAAUCUAAUGGUAGACUAGAUAUAGUUAAGAUAAUAUCUAACAGAGAGAUCGAUGUUCGAGUAUUUGUUGAAGUUCCUACGUAACUUUUAAUAAUUUUACAAACGGAUAGAGAUAAUAGUUUAUUCGAACAUUUAUUUUUAAUAGAGUGAAGAAACCCAAUUAUUUAAUUUAUGGGUAAACUACAUAAAGGGUAACACAAGUAUAAAAAGUUACAAAAUGUUCAUCUAACUAUUCAAUAUUGUUUUUUUAGAUCACCCGGCUAACGGUGGCUACUUUUAAAAUUUGAAUAAUAGAAAUUUAACCCUCAACACUUAUAUAUUGUAUCAAUUUAGUCUUGAUUCUAAAAAAAAAAUUUAACUCUCAACAUUUACACAUUGUAUAAUUUGGUCUCUCUUUUUGUAAUUUUGCUUUUCUUUGUGACAUUUAGUGUUAAUUUUAAAAGAAUAAGAAAAGAAAAAAAAUAUUAUCUUAGAUUUCUGGGUGCUCCUAUUUUUUAUAUAUUUUUAAUCAAAUUUAACUGAUAAAUUUAUUUUUAACUUUUUAAGUGAAAGGGUAAAGAAAAACAAAGUUGUACUAGAAAAAAGAAGAUCAAACUACCCAAUGUAUAAAUGUUGAUAGUUAAUUAUUUCUGGAAUCAAGAUUAAAUUGACAUAAUUUAUAAAUAUUGAGGGUUAAAGUUGAUAUUAUGCGAAUAUUAAAAGUUGCCACCGAUGAUCAGUAACCAAAAAAGACAAAACUGAAUAACUUAGUGAUCAUUUUGUAACUCUUCAUAAAUUUUAGUACAAAAUUAAGUGAAUGUUAACGUGUUUGAGGCAAAUCUCGAUGAACAUGUCAUGCAACGCAUAGCUAAAGGGGUAGAUAAGAGCUUUAGACCUCUUUUAGUUAAAUGGUAUCAUUAUGAUUAUAGUGCCUCUUAAAUGUCAAUUGUUUAAUUUAGUUCCUUUCUAGCUUUUAUUUAAAUGGAACAAUUGUAAUUUAGACCCUUUUCAAAUGUUUAAAUUUAAUUUCAGUUAUUUUAACGUAAAAUAUUUUAGCUUUGUCCCCUAUUUUUUUAAUUUUAUCUUGGCUCUUCAUCACAUAAUUCAUGACUGACAUAUAUGCCAUAGGUCAUAAGAUUGAGUCAAACUAUGCAAAAACUCUUUAGUUUCACCUGUUUGAGCACUUCAAGGCGUUCUCACUCUCUAAACCCACCAAGGAUCUAGACAAAGUCGGGAGACAAAACUCCGACUGGGGACAAUACUGGACUUGCUUAUAUCUGCUUUAUAGUUGUAUUUGUAGCAUACAAUGUAUAUUUUGUCAAAUUUGAAUACUUCUUGUUUGCUUGUCUAUUAUUCUUUUGAUAGAAGAUACAACUUUCUUUAUUUGUAUGUCCAUAUAAUUUGUUACAUUCGAUCUGUGAACCAUAUUUGACCUUCAUAUUGUCAACCAUGCCACUUGUUCAAUGGAAAAUUACCUUUGUUGAUUUGUUCUUGGUUGACAUUAAGUUCAAGGUUCGAAUCAGGAAAACCAAUCUCUCUCCCCUUAUUAUAUUUAUGUAUAUACAUGUAUUUGACCUUCAUGUUUGUUGGUGAGAAAAUGGUACAGAGUAAAUUGAAUUUUGCUUUUUGUUUGGUGUGUUUCCUAGGGAAAGCUUUAUGGAAGCCAACAAGAAUGGAAAUUUGGUUGAUGUUGAUCGGAAGGCGUUCGAAACUUGGAAAAAAUGAGCGAGGAGGUAUAGGUCCCUUGCUCCUCCCACUUUGUCAUAACUUUUCAUUGGAAGUUUUCUGUUGUAAUUUUGUAUUGAGUAUCGUCCCGAGUAUUUUCUUUAAUAGGAGAGGAAACCAUAUGUUACUCAGCCUACAUGAAGGAUAUGACUGAAGCGGAUAAAAAUAUUGUAAAGGUAACUGGGAUUCAGAGUUUAUGGAUGCUAAUUUCGUAUAAUUUAAACUUUCUAGAGCGACCUAAAUAUGUUGUUGGUGUAAUUGGUGAAAUUGUUUGUUGUGCUUUCAUAGCAAUGCUGAUACAUUCUGAAUAUUUGAUCAUGGAACUUGUUCCGUAGAUUCUUAAUUCAGAACUAUGAAUAGGGGCAUACUAAGGCAUACUAAAGAUGCAUGAUUUUGAACUCAUGAUCCUCUCAUCUUUACAUAAUCUAUGUUGCCACUCGGUUUUCUCCCUAUCGUUGUCAAUUAUUGUCAUCACAAUUGCUUUUCAAUGAUUUUUUCAGUUAGAAUUAGUAUCUUUUCCUUGUUUUGUCCACAAAAGCAAGAAUGAUAUAUGAUAGCUGUGAUUUAUCUGACAAUUAGCUUCUCUAAAUCUUUCACCCUAAUCAAUUGUCAAAAAUUUGCUGUUCUAGUGCUUAUUGGCUUCUCGUUUUUAACUUGAAAGUUAACUUAUCUAUUGUUCAAACAUCAAAAUGGAACAAAGUUUUGCAUCAUAUUCGAAGUUAUUAAUGAGUUAUUUUCUUUAGGUGGAUGAUGAGGCUGAUUCAGCAAUGGUUGGGAAAUUUGAUGAGGUUUGUAUAUAUGUUUGGAGCACAAAAAACAUAGCAAAUAUAGAUAAAUUUACGUAUUGUAUAUCUACUUGUGCUUAAACUAAGUCAUUCCCCUGCCAGUUGAGGCUCUGAAACCUUUGGGCACUGAAGUUCGAGUUUCACUAUGUAAAUCAUGUGUUGGUUCUCCCCCAGAUUUAUUUUGUUUACUUAGUUAGAGUUGAGUUAGCUUCAGUGAAUGUAACGAUUGAUUAUGUUAGUUCCCCCCUCUUUUGCCACCUCUUCUUCGUUGAAUUUACAGUUCUAUGAAGAUUAUGGGUACUAUGAAACAUCUGAUGAUGAUGGUGAACCAUACCACUCUGGAGGAUUCAAGAGCUUAAACACAACUGAACAGUAAUCGAAGUCUUCCCCACAUUUCAGUUCAAUUACCUAACUUAACCGCAAUCAUAUAUUGUGCACAAGACCGAUAAGUUAUGGCUUUCAUGAAGCAGGGAAACUGCUAUCGAGGGCGGAACUUGAAGAUGUUCUGGUUUUUGUUUCAUGUCAAUGGACCUUAUCCAACUGGCAAUGGUGGAAAAAAAAAGUUUGCCAUUUUGAUUCAUUUGUUAAGGCAAAUCAUUUGGCUAUUGUAAAGUAGUUAUAGGGGUUUUAGCCUUCGAAGCAGAUUGGUAUUUGUUUUGCUAUUUGGCAGUGGCAGUGGCAAUGGCAAUGGGGGUUUCACAGGUGAGUGGCAAGGGCUAUAGAGGAAGCAUCAUUUUGUCUAUAUUUUUUUAGUUUUAUGGAAUUUGGUUGAUGGAAUAGGUGAUAUGUUGGGUUGGAUAAAAUAAUCUAUAUUUUAUUGAAGUUAUGUUUGUUUUUAUCUGUUAGAAAAUUGAAGAAUGAUAUUAGAAAAUAUUUAGUCAAAUAAUUUGUAUUAAUAAUAGUUAAUUAUGCCUUUGUGGCUAAGCUCAUGGAAAUCAUUUAAAAAUAAAAUCUAAUAAAUAAUUAAACAUAUGAUUUAAAAUUAAUAAUAAUAACAAAGUAAUAUGUACGAAAUUUAAAUAGGUAAAUACAUUUGAUUAAGCUUUAUGUUCUGUUCUAAAUUUGGUUUCUUAAUACUUCUUCUGAAUAAGUUGGUGUCGAGUUGAUUCAUGAUACCAAUUUAGUCACAUGGUUAAAUAACUAUAUAGAUACAAAAGUUAAAUAUUUAAGAUGAUUGAUGCCUUCUGAACAUAACACCAUUUAAAUUUAUAUAAAUGUAUGAAAAUACGAAAAAUACUCAAUAACAAUAUUUAUUAAUAAUUUAAAUUUUGAUUUUUUUUAGUUUUCUUUUAUUCAAUUGGUGUCAAGUUAAAUCGUGACGCUGAUUCAGUUACAAUAUAUAGAAUAUGACGUGAGUGACAGACCAAUUUUAUUUAAAAUUUUAAUAUAAAAUAACAAUAAAGGUUUGAUUGAAACGGAAAAAUUAAAGAUUUAAGUUGCUUGAUGUCUUAUGUAAAGGUUUAAAUCGCAUCAUUUGCUUAUUUCCUUAAGUUUAAGUUGUUCCUUAUAACUUUUAUAAAAAUGUGUGAAAAUACAAAAACACCCUAUGAUAAUGUUUAUUAAUUGUUUAAAAUUUGAGUUUUUAGUACUUCUCUAAUUAAAUUAGUGUCGAGUUGAUUCGUAACAUCAACUCAAUCACACUUAAAUUAAAGUUUCCAUACAUAGAACACCAGGUGGGUGAGAGUGAUAGACGAGAUUUAUGAAAAAAAUUCAUGUAAAAUAACAAUGAAGUUUCGGUUAAAAUAAUAAAUUUAAUUUGUAAUAUUUAUAAUGAUAAAUUUACACAGAAUACUUGCCAUUUGCAUAUUUUUUAUAAGUUUAUUUUAUUUUUUAAAAUAAAGUUUAUAUAAAGGUAUGAAAUGCAAAACUACCUUAUAAUAAUAUUUAUUAAUCGUUAAAAUUUUGAUUUUUUUAAUACUUUGUCUAAUCGAGUUGGUGUCGAGUUAGUCAAUGAUAUAAUUUAGACAUAUAAUUAGACAACAGUGUAAAAGUGUAGAUACAUAGAUCACAAUGCGCGUGAUAAGCAAAUUUUAUGUAAAAAAAAACUCAUAUAAAUAUUAUAUUAAUAGAUGAGAACAUCUGUAUUUAAUAAUUAGACAACAGUGUAAAAAUGUAGACACAUAGAUUACAAUGGGCGUGAUAAGCAAAUUUUAUGUAAAAAAACUCAUAUAAAUAUUAUAUUAAUAGAUGAGAACAUCAGUAUUUAAAAAAAAAAAUCCAGAAAGCUGAUUGCAUACCAAGGCUUGGAACAUGGCAAUCAUGGUACACAAAAAAGCCAAAAAAAAUUUAGCAAUAAGAUUUCAUAAAGAUAUAAAUUGUUUACAACAGUAAAUUAACACAAGAAAAUAAAAAUAAAACAAAGUAGAAAACUAACCCCCACCCCCAAUUUGCCGUCCACAGUAGUUGUGACCUUAUUAUAUAAUCUUCAAUCCUUAAUAAUCUAUACUAUAUAUAUAGAACACAGACACUUAAAACAUGCAAUAAGCAAACCAUGAUAAUGACCCAAAUUUUAUGUGAAAAUAUUAAACCAAGCAAGCAUCAUAAGCAACAAUCCCAUCCAUGAUCUUGGCCACACUAUCUUUGGACUCCUUUAACACCUUGAUGCUGUUUUUAAGCUUCUCACGCUUUGCAACAAUGGCAGGAGAUUCCACCAGCAUCAUCUUUAUCCCAUGUCCAUCUGGUCCCAUCAGCUCCUUCACAAUCUCAUCAAUGUCAUUGUGUACAAGAUUAUGAACAUGGUAUCGUAAAUGCAAUGCCAUGGAAUCAACCAAUCUCACCUUAAAUACCUUCCAAUAAGCAACCAUUCUCAUCUUCAGGUCGAAAGCUUGUUGCAGGAUCGAAACAUCCGAGUGUUUUCUGAGAUGUUCGAUUUGGAUUUCCCCUAAACCUUCGAGAUCCACACUGCAAGGCAGCGGCCGCAUGUUUGUUCCAGAUAUUUGGUUCAUGAAAUGGUCUUGUUGCUUCAUGAGCUUAUUCCACUCCAUCAUGUAAUCAGGGUUACAUGUGUAGCCUGUUAGCUUCUCCAUUUCUACAAUCUCUUUCACCCUAUUGAUUGAUUGCUCCCUCAGCUUUUGAACAAGGUUGUGAGCAGCUCCUUUUGCGGAUACCUUGAGGUGAUAAUACAUUUCCGAGUGGCGCGUCAAAACAGACAUCACCACAUCGUCUAUGUAAUCCCAAUACUUUUCGCUGAGUUUGAUAGGGAGAUACGAUAUCCUCUCGACUUUUCUCCGUAAGAUACGAAGGAAUGCUUCACAGGGAAGGAAGUUCGGUAGUUCGAUCCCCCUAGCAUCUUCCAAACCCUUGAUCUCUUCUGUUAAAAAGUCUUUUGAUAGAUUACUUUCCUCGCAGUUGUGAAGCUCAUCGGAGAACCGGUUCAGCAUUUCAACAAACCGAGCAGUCCCGUGCUUCGUGUUGUCCUCGGGGUAUUCAUCAAAUUCCCCCCUCCAAAGAAGUUUCUUCAGGGAUUCUUUAGCUGCUUGAAUGAUCCUCAUCAUAGCUUGAGUGGCAUCAGCAAUAGAAGUUAAGGCCUUUGGCAUUUUCUCUAGCUCUGAAACAUUUGCAUCCAGCUUUGCACUAAUGUUUUUAACAAUCUCUGGCAAGCACUUUGCAAUCGCAUUAGCUUGAAUUCGGACAAGAUUUUGAGCCAAAACAUGAACCCCCACAAUUGAUUUAUCAAUACGUGACAAAUGUGCAUUAGUUUCGAACAAUCUAGCCUCUUCCUUCCUUGCUUCUUCAUAGGAUUCAUCACCAAUCCGAUUCCGAACACAAACAUAACCAAGUCCUAUAUUCACAUCAUCUGCAGUAACCUUGUCAACAAGCCCUUCGGGGGCCCUAUCUACUUUAGUAACCACGGCAAGAGUUCUCUCACCAUUCUUGUCCACUUGUUGCGACAUCCUAAUGGAUUCACAAGUUGAAAAAUCAACCGUAGCCGACAGAACAUUAAGGAUAAUGCUUUCCUUUGGUGUUAUGUACUGCAUGAUGAUGUCCCGGAUCUGCUCAUAUAUGUUGUCGGGCUGACCAUGGACAGGAACUCUGGUAAUUCCAGGAAGAUCAACCAUGGUAAGAUCAGGAACCCCAUCUUUUCUCACCACCAAAGUCAAAGGGAUGUCAGAUAUGCUCUUACCCGGGCCUGCAACCUCAUCCGUUGCAAUGUUUAUGGCUGUUGCAAUCUGGGGUUCCUCCACUGGGACCGUUUUGCCAUUGUACUCCAAGUAGAGCUCUGGCCUUGGACUUGCAUGGUUCUGCAACCUGAUUAUGAGAGGUACCCUGGUGCAAAUGCCCUGGCUACGAGGAAGGUUAACACCAGCCAAGGAUUCAAGAACACUAGACUUGCCUGAUGACUGGUCUCCAACCACAACAAUUGUGGGGAGCUGUAUGCCUUCUUUCAUCACCAUGAGCAGCCUGAGCCUGUCGAUGACGUCAAGCAAAGGUCGGAUUUUGUCAUUGUAUGAUGAAAUAAUUGGGGCUUGAACUGCUGCUGCUCCCACCACCUUAGGUUCUUCCAUAGAAGGAGUUGCUGGUUGAGAAUCUUCAUAAUCAUUGAUGACACCAAUGGUCCCUGAAUCAGCUUCAUCAUAGCUUCCCAUUUUCUAGAAGUCGAGACAGGACGGGAAUUGGCCAAACUUGAUGUUUUAGAUGGUUUUUUUUGUUGGAAGUUGGAAAGCAAUAAACUUGAACUAAAGUGAAGACAAAUUCAAUGAAGCAUGUUUGGCUUUAUAAUGAAAAUUAAAAUAGGGUAAAGCACCAAAAAUAGGAACAAUAAAGCGAUAGCAUCCUAUACCAAACCCCAAGAAACAAGCAAAGGAAGCUAUAAUGGGAAUGGAAAACUUUAGGUUAUACUUUGAAUUGUAGAAAAUAAUGAUACAAGGACAGAAGAGAGGAAACAGAACAAAAUCAAAUCGUGACCGACCAAAAGAUGAGUGUGUCGAUGACAGAAAGUUCGAAACAUAAACAGCACCACUAGUUCCUACAGGAACUAGACAGCAGAACUAUAUGAAACAAUGUAUUCACAUUGAAGUUUCGGAGAGAUGCCACGUACAAGCCAUGUUGCCAUUAACUCAUAUGCUCUUUGUGCCAAAUGAGCUCCAUCCCAACUAAGCCGUUCAUUAGGGUUUUCGCAUACCGGUACUUUUGGAUCUCCGCACCAACUUAAUAAGCCAGAAUUGUAGUCCCCAAUUCCGCAGCAAGCUUUUUGCAAUGAUGUUGGAUCAAAACCUGAUGAGAUUUUUCGAAAACUCAGAACAUGACUAGAACCAUUCACAGUACGAUCUCAUAAACUUCUGGAUGCAAAUAAAUCAGACUUACCAAGCAGAUCAGCUUUGCUCAAAAGCCACAGGAAUGCAUUGUAGUAGUAACCGUAGACAACGAUUACAUCUUGAUGUUUUUCUUUUAGCUCAGCAAUAGCUUGUUGAAGAAGAUGACUAUGAUAGAUUGAAAAAUUAUUCUAACUCCUUUAAAAUUAUAUAUUUUAAUUUUAGCCUAAAAAAAAAAAUCUUGACUUGGUCCCUUUCGGGCAAAUUACACAUAAAAGCAUUAUUUUUUUAAAAUUUACGGAAAUAAGCUCGGUAUUUUAUUAUUUACUGGAAUGAGUCAUUUUCCCCAAAAUCGCGUCUACGUUAGCGCGAUGUCAGGGGACGUCAGCAAAUCGCGCCUCAAAAAAAAAAUCUUGACUUGGUCCCUUUCGGGCAAAUUACACAUAAAAGCCUUUUUUUUUUAAAUUUACCGAAAUAGGCCCGGUAUUUAUUAUUUACCGGAAUGGGCUAUUUUUCCCAAAAUUGCUUCUACAUCAGCGCGAUGUCAAGGGACGUCAGAAAAUCGCGUCCUCGUAGGCACAAUUUGCUGACGUGGAAGCAAAUCGCGCUAACGUGGACGCGAUUUGCGCCGCACGUGAACAGUACCCUCCGGUCAAAAAAUUGACCGUUUAUGUUUUUUAGCUUGGAAAACUUUGAAAUGCCAUAACUUUUCGCUCGGUUGUUCGAUUGAGAUGAUUUUUUUUAUUUCGAAUAACUUUUCGAGAUCUACGCGCUGACGGUUGAGACGAUUGAGGCGGUUUGCCGCAGUUUUCGUCGAAAAAGAUCCUUUUUUACCUCUAAAUUUUUAUUUUUUUCGGUUUAAAAUUAAAUUUUGAAACAUUCAAAUCAUUAUUUUCCUUAUUUAUUUGAAGUAAACACCGGAUUUUUUUUACAAAAUUAUUGUAUUAUUUUUUCUGAUUUGACACGUGUAUGGAAUAGGUCCGAUAAAUCAUUAAAACGUAAGUAAUAUAAUUAAGAUAAUAACAGUAUUUUUAUAAUAUGUUAAUUAAUUAGUUUAGCUUAGUUGGUUAAUAUGCUUGCUUUUUUCCUUUAGUACCUUGGUUCAAAUCUUGUUGGUAAUAAUUUUGAAUCUUUUUUGUACUUGUUGCAUUUAUUUUUUUAAUCAAUUAACUCUUCAAUAUUACAUUAAUAUAUAUUAUUAGUACAAUAAUAUAGACAGAUUGACAAUUUGAGCUACAAUAUUAUGAAUAUUAACUACAAUACAUAAUUUGAGCUACAUAUUACAGUAAUACAUAUUGGGCAAAAUACCAAAAAACCCUAUUUUUUUAAAAUUUACCGAAAUGGGCCCGAUAUUUUAUUAUUUAUCGAAAUGGGUCAUUUUCCCCGAAAUCGCGUCCACGUCAGCGCGAUGUCAUGGGACGUGUCAGAAAAUCGCGUCCUCGUAGGCGCGAUUUGUGUUCACAUAAGCAAAGCGCGCUGACGUGGACGCGAUUUUCUAACACGUCCCCUGAUAUCGCGCUGACGUGGACGCGAUUUAAGGGAAAAUGGCCUAUUCCGGUAAAUAAUAAAAUACCGGGUCCAUUUCGGUAAAUUUAAAAAAAAUAGGGUUUUUUUGGUAUUUUACUCGUCCCUUUCGCAUACCUACUCUAAGACAAAAAAAAUCAUUUUAUUUAAGCUUUUUGUUUAUUAAUAAUUUUUUUUUCAAUGUGAUUCAUUAAAUACAAUUAAAAAUAUUUGGAAGAGAAAUCUAGUCGUAGACUAGAUAGUUAAGAUAAUAUCUAACAGAGAGGUCGAUGUUCGAGUGUUUGUUGAAGUUCUUACGUAACUUUUAACAAUUUUACUGAUAACACUCUAGAAUACGUAUUUUUAUAUAUUAAUUAUGUAUUUAUUCUAAGAAUGAUGCUACUAAUUUGAGCUAUUUAUGAUCUUUUAUCUCAUAAGGACUAAAUUUGAGGUAAAAACAAAAUUAAUGGCCAAGAACGUGAAUUUAGAGAUACAAUAGGCCAAUGUGCUACACAAGAAAAAGUUGUUGCCAAAAGUGCAAGUGUGGAGGACACAAGGGUUGAGAUGCAAAAAGAAGAGAUUUUAUUCUAUCAGACUCUAUUUUAAUUAUAUUAGGAUAAUUAAUAUUAAGAUAAUUAUUAAAGAUUAUUUAAUUUUAGGAUUUAAUUUUAUUUAUCUUUAUUUAUCUUUAAUUAAAUGUAUUUAUCGUUUGGCAAUUUAAGUAGGAUUAGACUAUCUCCCCUAGCACUAUAAAUAGGGGUGAAGUGAGUCAAAAGAGGAUCCAUCUUUUUUGUAAACACUCUCUCCUCAAAAGUCUAGGCUUUUGUUCUUCUCAUAUUUCAUUUAAAUAAAAUCUCAAUUUUUAUUUAUUUUCUUUUCUACCACAAUCAUGAGCCACUAAACCUAUCUAGCCAAAGGUUGUCGAAAAUCUCCAAAAUAGUUUAUGAGGCUUAGAAUUCGUACUUAGCUUUCUCAAUGAGUGUUCAUCGUUUCUCUGCACUACGAGACUGACGCUUUCGUCGAUGUCCCUUAAGAAGUAAGCUUUUCAAUGUAUGCAAAGGUGGCCACUUUGUAUGUUUUGGGAAAGUUGCACAGUCGGUUUGUAAAAUAGGGUAAAGCACCAAAAAUAGGAACAAUAAAGCGAUAGCAUCCUAUACCAAACCCCAAGAAACAAUCAAAGGAAGCUACAAUGGGAAUGGAAAACUUUAGGUUAUACUUUGAAUUGUAGAAAAUACAUCUUAUAUUCCGUAUUGGAUUGUAGAAAAUAAUGAUACAAGGACAGAAGAGAGGAAACAGAUCAAAAUCAAAUCGUGACCAACCAAAAGAUGAGUGUGUGGAUGACAGAAAGUUCAAAACAUAAACAGCCCCACUAAUUCCUACAGGAACUAGACAGCAGAACUAUAUGAAACAAUGUAUUCACAUUGAAGUUUCGGAUAGAUGUCACGUACAAGCCAUGUUGCCAUUAACUCAUAUGCUCUUUGUGUCAAAUGAACUCCAUCCCAACUAAGCCGUUCAUUAGGGUUUUCGCAUACCGGUACUUUUGGAUCUCCGCACCAACUUGAUAAGCCAUAAUUGUAGUCUCCCCCAAUUCCGCAGCAAGCCUUUUGCAAUGAUAUUGGAUCAAAACCUAAUGAGAUUUUUCGAAAACUCAGAACAUGACUAGAACCAUUCACAGUACGGUCUCAUAAACUUAUGGAUGCAAAUAAAUCAGACUUACCAAGCAAUCAGCUUUGCUCAAAAGCCACAGGAAUGCAUUGUAGUAGUCACCGUAGACAACGGUUUCAUCUGGAUGUUCUUCUUUUAGCUCAGCAAUAGCUUGUUGAAGAAGAUAAUUAUGAUAGAUUGAAAAAUUAUUCAACUCCUUUAAACAAUGAAGUUCAUCAUAAGCAGUAGAAUCAUCUGUUUGGUAUUUGGUGAGAUAUACAGGAAAGCAGCCUAUGGGGAAGUUUCCAGGAACAACUAACCGAGUAGCACCAUAUCCGAUAACUCUCUACACAGUGGAACUUAUGAGAAACAGGGUUUCAAUGAUUAGAAGUGAUAUAAUCAGAUGUCUCUUGAAAGAAAACUUACUUUGGUAGCUUGUUUUAUCGUUUCUACUACCUCGGGCACCAUGGUCUUAACCUCUUCUAUGGUUUUUCCUUGCCAAAAGGCGUAGUUAUAGUCAUUUCCUCCUAUCUCCCCAACCAUGAAAAGAGCUUUCCCAUUUUUCUUGAAGCAAUCUACCAAAUAUAACACCUCAAGUGGUUAUUUGUGUUAAUCCAUUCUGAACAUCGUUAUUAUACCUGAUUACCUAACCAGGAGGCCUCAUUAGACCAACCGCUCCAUCAUGGAGGUCUCGCCUGCAUGAUAGCUCAACCAACUAAAGACACUCAUGUGCCUUGUCACACGAGCCACCACAAGGUCAUAUCAAGAUCCACUCAGGACCUGCUCCUGUCACAUCUAGUACAGGCUCUAUCACUCGACCAUUAAGUCUACAAGAAUAAUCUAUCUUCAACCUCUGCUAGCAGCUCUUGACACUCACGUGUGAGCCACCUUCAACCUCUUCCACCACAUCCUAUAUCAACAAACAUAUAUAUAUGUUGUGCGGAAGCGUGUAAAAGAGUAAAAUUAUUGUAUUAAAAAAUCACACUAAGUUCAAUUCCCAGGAAAGAGAGGUGGAUCACAAGGAUCGCUUAAGUACCAGGUCUUUCCUAGCCAGAAUAUCCCUCAAUCGUAAUUUAAUAGCACAAUAAAUCACUACAAUCACACACACAAUUCAUGCAGAAUAAUACAAUAAAGAACACAAGAAUUUAACGAGGUUCAGCAAAUUUUGCCUACGUCCUCGGGCACUACCAAAUAUAUUUCACUCCAAAAUACAAGUGAGAAUUUACAAAGAGAGAGAGAGAAAACAAUGCCUUAAGUAGAGAAUGGCAAGUUUGAGAUACAGAAUGAGAGAUGGUUAUGCCUAUUUAUAGUUGAGGUUCAGGGAUCAACUUGCAAAGUCACUUUACAAUUAGGGACCAUAUAUUACAAAUAUCUCAGAUUUUAUUAUGCCAAUAUCUCGAUACCCAUAUCUUUGACUUUCCAAUAUUUGAUACCCAUAUCUUUGACUUAUUAUUUGAUACCCAUAUCUUUGAUUUUCCAUAAAUAUGGAUAAUUCCCAAUAAUCUCCACCUUGAAGAUUUGAUUCGAGUAAUCUUAUCUUCACACAAUUCUCUCUGCCUUUGUCAACAACACUUGAUAGUGCCUUCUUCAACUGUUAAACAUGCAGAAUAUUGAUCAAGUUCAAACAAUGUUCGAACUUGAUUGUUGUUACCACCUUGGUCAUCAUAUCUGCGGGAUUAUCUGCAGUCUUAAUCUUCUGAAGGUGAAUUUUCCCCUCAUCAAUAAUUUCCCGCACAAAGUGGAAACGUACGUCGAUAUGCUUUGUACGUGCAUGAUAGACUUGAUUCUUUGCUAAAUGAAUAGCACUUUGACUAUCACAAUACACAUUAAUAUGCUCCUGGACCAAUCCCAAGGUUUUAACCAUACCUUGUAACCAAAUAGCUUCCUUUACAGCCUCUGUUACAGCCAUGUAUUCAGCUUCUGUGGUUGACAACGCAACUGUAGACUGCAGUGUAGACUUCCAACUUAUUGGUCCUCCAGCAAGAGUAAACACAUAACCAGUGGUUGAUCUUCGUUUGUCCAAAUCACCGGCAUAAUCAGAAUCAACGUACCCAACAACACCUUUACCAAGUGUAGUAUCCUGCUUGAACAGUAAUCCAAUAUCCAUGGUCUUAUGAAUAUACCGUAGAAUCCAUUUCACAGCUUGCCAAUGUCCUUUUCCAGGAUUAUGCAUAUACCUGCUCACUAUACUAACUGCUUGUGAAAUGUCGGGUCUUGUACACACCAUUGCAUACAUCAAGCUACCUACUGUAUUAGAAUACGGAACUUGUAACAUGUAUUCUUGUUCCGUAUUUGUCGAAGGAGAUAGUUGAGCAGAAAGCUUGAAAUGAGAAGCCAACGGAGUACUUACAGCUUUAGUCUGCUCGUUCAUGCCAAACUUCUGUAGUAUCUUCUUUAAAUAUUGCUUCUGAGAUAAACUAACUCUGCCAUGAGCUCUAUCCCUACAUAUUUCCAUGCCAAGGAUCUUCUUAGCUUCACCUAGAUCUUUCAUCUCAAACUCAAGGUUGAGUUGAGUCUUCAAUCUCUCAAUUUCAACUUUACUCUUAGAUGCUAUCAACAUAUCAUCAACAUAUAAGAGCAAGUAUACGAAAAAUCCUUCUUGUAGCUUCUGAAAAUACACGCAAUGAUCAAAUUUACUUCUUGUAUACCUUUGCCCUUUCAUGAACUGAUCAAAUCGCUUGUACCACUGCCUUGGAGAUUGUUUCAAUCCAUAAAGCGACUUUGUCAGUUUGCAAACCUAAUUUUCUUUAUCAGCAACCUUGAAUCCAUCUGGCUAAGUCAUAUAGAUUUCCUCUUCCAAAUCACCGUGUAAAAAUGCGGUCUUCACAUCGAGUUGAACUAGUUCAAGAUCAUAUUGCGCAACCAAGGCUAGCAAAAUCCGAAUAGACGAAUACUUCACAACUGGAGAAAAUACUUCAUUGUAGUCUAUUCCUUCUUUCUGAGCGUAACCCUUUGCUACCAAUCUAGCCUUGUAUCGAACUUCAUUUUUAUCAGGAAAUCCUUCCUUCUUUGCAUAUACCCAUUUGCAUCCAAUUGCCUUCUUUCCUUUAGGUAGUGUCACCAACUCCCAAGUCCUAUUUUUAUGAAGAGACUGCAUUUCUUCAUUCAUAGCUUGCUUCCACUUUACACUAUCAGAGUUACUUCUUGCUUCUGUGUAAGUAGAAGGAACAUCAUCAUCUACAAUUGGAAGUGCUUAGGCCACCAUAUCAUCAAAGCGAGCAGGCAUACGAAUCUCUCUUCUUGGCCUUCUAUAUGCAAUUGAAUCAUGUUGCUAUAGAAGUUCUUGGGUCGAAACUUCUUCAUCAUUUGUUCCUUCAAUAUUAGCUGGAUCAUCAUUAACCUUUUCAAGCUCCACCUGCUGCAAAGUGCCACUAGUUGUGUUAUCCUUUUGUGAAUCAUUGUUCUUCAUCAUGGUUGAUUCAUCAAAAGUCACAUCUCUACUGAAAAUUAUUUUCCUUGUAUCAGGACACCAGAGACGGUAUCCUUUUUCUCCACCAGUUAUACCCAUGAAUAAUGCUUUCUUUGCUCUUGGGUCUAACUUAGAUUCUUUUACAUGAUAAUAUGCAGUGGAACCAAAAAUAUGUAAAGAAUCAUAAUCAGUAGCAGGUUUACCAGCCCACCUCUCCAUAGGAGUUUUUCCAUUUAUUGCAGCUGAUGGCAACCGAUUAAUUAGAUGGCACGCAUAUGUAACUGCCUCAGCCCAAAAUUCUUUGCCCAAUCCAGCAUUGGACAACAUACAUCGAACUUUCUCCAGUAUAGUCCGAUUCAUACGUUCUGCCACCCCAUUCUGUUGUGGUGUAUCUCGAACAGUGAAGUGUCGUACAAUACCUUCAUCGUGACAUACUUGUAGAAAUGGAUCAUUCUUGUACUCAGUACCAUUGUCUGAUCGAAGUCGUUUGACUUUUCGACCAGCCUGGGUCUCCACCAUCUUCUUCCAUUUCAGAAAUACAUCCAAAACUUCAUUUUUCCUUUUCAUUAGAUACACCCAUACUUUUCUUGAAUAAUCAUCAACAAAAGUAACAAAAUAGUGCAUACCUCCCAAAGAAGCCACUUUAGUAGGUCCCCACACAUCACUGUGAACGUAGUCCAGAAUUUCUUUUGUAUUGUGAAUUGCUGAACCAAAUUUUAUCCUCGUCUGCUUGCCCAGAACACAAUGUUCACAGAAUUCCAAUUUUCAAGAAUUUGCACCUUUCAACAAGCCUUGCUUCGCCAAACUCUGCAAAGCUUUUUCACCAGCAUGUCCCAAUCGCAUAUGCCAUAACCUGGUAGCCUCUGAAUCUGCAUCUUUCGUAAAAGCUGUUGAUGUUGAUCCAAUAACUGUACUUCCAUUUAAAUAGUACAGAUUAUUCCUUCUUGUGCCUUUCAUCACCGUCAAUAUCCCUGCUACUACCUUUAGUAAUCCAUCUCUCAAAGUGAUUGUGAGCCCUUUAGAUUCUAGGACCCCUAAUGAGAUAAGAUUUUUCUUCAAGCUAGGUAUGUAGCGAACAUCUGUCAAGACUUGAAUUGAGCCGUCGUGAUUCUUCAAUUAGAUUGUACCUACUCCCAUUGUCUUACAAGCGCUAUCAUUGCCCAUAAAAACAACUCCACCUUCUAGUUCUUUAAGACUAGAAAACCAGUCCUUAUUAGGACACAUAUGGUAAGUACAUCCCGAAUCCAAAAUCCACUCAUCUGUAUGACAUGCCAUUGCCAUGCCAACCAAGCUAAAGUCUGACUCCUCAUCAUGCUCCGCUACACAUGCAUCAAAAAUAGCUUUACCCUUUUGUAACUUAGGACAAUUCUUUUUCCAAUGCCCUUUCUCACGACAAAAAGCACAUUCAUCUUUGGCAGGUCUCCCUUUGGACUUACUCCUUCUACCAGAUUUGUUGCUGCGCGAACGAAUUCUUACUGUUAAGACUUCUGUAGUUGUAUCUCUGUGAUCUUUUUUAUCUUUCUUUCGAGUCUCAGAUCUAUACAACGCACUACAGACUGCAUCAAAUGUGAUUGUAUCCUUCCCAUGAAGCAAUGUGGUGGUAAGAUGAUCAUAUUCAUCAGGAAGAGAAUUCAACAACAGUAAUGCCUUGUCUUCAUCUUCAAAUUUCUCAUCCAAAUUUAGCAAGUCUGCUAAAAUUUUAUUGAAUGAGUUCACAUGGUCAUUCAUCGACAUACCGGGUGCAUACGUAAAUCGAUAAAGUUUCUUUUUCAUAUAAAGCCUAUUUUUAAGACUUUUUGUUAGAAACUUUUCUUCUAGUGUAUCCCACAACUUCUUCGCUGAUGUCUCCCUCAUGACAGAGUGCUUCUACUCUUUGGCCAAACAUAGGCGAAUUGUUCCAUAUGCCUGUCUAUUGAUCUUGGCCCACUCCUUGUCAUCCAUUUUGUCAGGUUUUUCUUUAAGGGCUAUAUCCAGCUCUUGCUGACAUAAGACAUCCAGGAUCUCACAUUGCCACAUACCAAAAUUAUUGGUACCAUCAAAUUUCUCUACUUCAAAUUUCGCAUUGGUCACAGUAGUCUUUAACGAUGACUUUUCCAUUUUUUUUCUCCUCAAUCCCAACUACAGUACGUGAACAGUGCCGUGAACGAUCGUAUUCCCCAAGUACGAAUCUAGCUCUGAUACCAAUUGUUGUGCGGAAGCGUGUAAAAGAGUAAAAUUAUUGUACUAAAAAAUCACACUAAGUUCAAUUCCCAGGAAAGAGAGGUGGAUCACAAGGAUCGCUUAAGUACCAGGUCUUUCCUAGCCAGAAUAUCCCUCAAUCAUAAUUUAAUAGCACAAUAAAUCACUACAAUCACACACACAAUUCAUGCAGAAUAAUACAAUAAAGAACACAAGAAUUUAACGAGGUUCAGCAAAUUUUGCCUACGUCCUCGGGCACUACCAAAUAUAUUUCACUCCAAAAUACAAGUGAGAAUUUACAAAGAGAGAGAGAGAAAACAAUGCCUUAAGUAGAGAAUGGCAAGUUUGAGAUACAGAAUGAGAGAUGGUUAUGCCUAUUUAUAGUUGAGGUUCAGGGAUCAACUUGCAAAGUCACUUUACAAUUAGGGACCAUAUAUUGCAAAUAUCUCAAAUUUUAUUAUGCCAAUAUCUCGAUACCCAUAUAUUUGACUUUCCAAUAUUUGAUACCCAUAUCUUUGACUUAUUAUUUGAUACCCAUAUCUUUGAUUUUCCAUAAAUAUGGAUAAUUCCCAAUAAUAUAUAUAUAGGAAAGAUGCUAACCUUUGUUACCACGACAAGUUGUAUUGAAAUAGCUAAACAUCCAGUCAAGUUGUCUACUUAAAGAUAUGCUGGUAGGCACAAAGGAAACAUUCCACUUGGCUAAAUCUUCUGCAGACAUGGCAGUAGCUCCGGCAAACGCGAAAUUAAGCCCAUAAUCAAAUAAUCCAUCUUUGUUUAAGUAAGGAUCAAGAAAAGGAAUUCCAGCAGAUAGUGCUGUUCAAAUGUUCAAAACACGAAACAGUAAACACACUGGUUAAAAAAAAGUUAAUUAAACCAACAAAAAUCAAUACAAAUAUAAUCAUUAAUCAUCUUCCUAAACCUUUCUAGUAUGGGGUUGACACUUUUUUAGAGAAAAAAGAGAUUGAUUCUUCUCCAAGCAAUGCACCCAACGUGUAUGGUCUCAGUGAAGCUUUUGAUUAGAAUUUAGUAUUUUACCUAUAUAAUCAAUCAUCAACAAACCAUCGGAGCAUCUCCCAGUUGCUUUCUUGAAGGUUUCUCCAUAUGGUAACCUUGCAAAUUUUGAUGAAGGGUUGUCUUGCACAUCAUUACCCGUAUCUGCUAUGGAAUCCCCGAGCUGAUAUAUGGCAUCGAAAUUGUAGCUGCUAAGGAUAUGUUGAUUGUUGCAUGUAACGAAGUUGAAGAAAGAGAUGAUAAUUAGUAUAGAGAACACAAAACCUGGUGGUGAAGAUUUACUAGAAGCCAUAUAUGGAGAAAUGGUAUUACUGGGUAUUUAGCAUCUAAAUCUUAGCUCCCCCUAAAAAGGUAUAUAGUUGUGCUCCUACAGGUAGCUUUGAAUCAGGGACGGCACCAAAGGGGCAGUCAAAGGCCUUAGCACCCCCCAAACGAAAAAUUAUUAUUUUAGUCCCUUGAAAUUUUUUAAAUUAUAAGUUAGGUAAAAAUACACUUUGACCCCACAAGAUGAUUUUUUUUAAUUUAAUUCUUUUAAGAUUAUAAAUAACAAACAUAUAGAAAGAUAAAAUUAUAUUUUAACCUUUUUAAAAUUAUAUAAUUUAAUUUUAGCCUCAAAAAUAAAGUCUUGACUUGGUCCCUUUCGUAUACCUACUCUUAGACAAAAAAAAAUCAUUUUAUUUAAGCUUUUUGUUUAUUAAUAAUGAGUUUUUUUUCUCAAUGAUUCAUUAAAUACAAUUAAAAAAUAUUUGGAAGAGAAAUCUAGCAGUAGACUAGAUAGUUAAGAUGAUAUCUAACAGAGAGGUCGAUGUACGAGUGUUUGUUGAAGCUCCUAUGUAACUUUUAACAAUUUUACAAACUGAUAGAGGUAAUGGUUUCUUUGAUCAUUUAUUUUUAAUACGAGUAAAGAAACCUAAUUAUUUAAUUAUGGGUAAAAUACACAAGGAGUCACCCAACUAUGAAGAGUUAAAAAAAAGACAAUGGUGGUAACUUUUAAAAUUAGCAUAAUAGCAAUUUAACCCUUAACGUUUAUAUAUUGUAUCAAUCUAGUCUUGAUUCUAUUUUUUUUUAACUCUCAACAUUUACACAUUGUAUAAUUUAGUCUUUCUUUUUUAAUUUUGUUUUUCUUUGUGACAUUGAGGGUUAAUUUUAAAAGAAAAAGAAAAGAUAAAAAGUAUUAUCUUGGAUUUCUGGGUGCUCCUAUUUUUUUUAUAUAUUUUUAAUCAAAUUUAACUGAUAAAUUUAUUUUUAACUUUUUAGUUAAAAGAGUAAAGAAAAACAAAGUUGUACAAAAAAAAAAUCAAACUACGCAAUGUAUAAAUGUUGAGAGUUAAUUGUUUGAGGAAACAAGAUUAAAUUGACAUAAUUUAUAAAUAUUAAGGGUUAAAGUUGAUAUUAUGCUAAUUUUAAAAGUUGCCAUUGAUGAUCAGUGACCAAAAAAGACAAAAGCGAAUAAUUUAGUGAUCAUUUUGUAACUUUUUAUAAUUAAAUGACAAAAAAAUUACGUAAUUUAAUCUUUAAUUAUUUGUUUUGGACAUUGAUUAUUUAAUAACUAAUAACAUUCAAUAAUUGACGUUAAAAAAUUGUUUGUAUGAUGAAGUCAUUGUCAUCACCCAAAAGAUGUACAUAUAAAAGGAGUCACAAUCGGCCUCUACCAAAUUGAUUUUAGAAAGUAGACGCUAACUAUUUGAAAUAUAAUUGUUGUAUCUUAAUUUAUAAGUUAUUAUAUUAUUAUAUAAGCAUAAUUUUCUUUUGGUAGAUAAAGAUUAUUUCUUUCUAAAUAAUCUUUCAAAGUUAUUAAAUAAUCGUUGAAUUUUUUUGUAAUUUGGAGUACAAAAUUAAGUGAAUGUUAACGUGUUUGAGGCGAAUCUCGAUGAACAUGUCAUGCAAAUGCAACGCAUAGCUAAAGGAGUAGAUAAGAGCUUUAGACCUCUUAAAUGUCAGUUGUUCAAUUUAGUUCCUUUCUAGCUUUUAUUUAAAUGGAACAAUUGUAAUUUACACCCUUUUCAAAUGUUUAAAUUUAAUUUGGGUUAUUCUAAUGUAAAAAGUUUUAGCUUUGUCCCCUAUUUUUUUUAAUUUUACUCUUGGCUCUUCAUCACAUAAUUCAUGACUUCGCCUGAUACUGUGAGACCCAAUGUUAAUAUUUUAAGUAUUCAAAUCUCGGAUCGUUUAUGAACAAAAUUUUGAAAGAAAGAUGAUGGAAUAUUGACCUUGUAGCUGUAUAAGAGCUAGAAAGUAAUAUUAUAAAAAGAUUGGAGAUUAUAAGUUAAACACUUGGAAUUAUCGAAAAGUUGUUGCAGGAAGUUCGGUAGUUUGAUCGCCUUAGCUAACCUUCAAAGAUUCUUCAUCAAUUUAGACACCGAAAUCCCCACACUGUCAGAUUCGCUUUGAAAGAAGAGUAUGUGAAAUCCAUUAUACUCUAGAGCUCUCAAAGGGGCCAUGCAAAGAGGCUUCGAAAGAAAAUUGCAUGAAGUUCCCACAAUGUGUCAUUGGUUUCAUUAUGAUAUUUUAACCUUUAAUCAUUUUAUUUUAUAUAAAAAAAUUUGAACUGAUAAAAAAUUGAUUUCAAAUUAUUUCUAUUUUUAUUUUUCAAUUUUUAGUGUCAUUAUUAAUUUUUGUGUAAUUCAAUUGUUAAAGUAUGUAGUUUGAUACAUAAUUAUUGUUGUUAAUUUAGGAUAGCCAUGAAUGGGAUGCAUUGAGUUUGAAAUAUUUUAAGUAAAUUAUCAAAUUUUAUAAUAUUAGUUAAAAUUAAAAGAAUAUAUAUUUACUCCUUUUUUUUUCUCUUUGUAUCUUGAUUUGUGGAUUAGGUAACGAAUAUUGGUGUCCAAUUAUGUUAUGAUAAUAUAUACUUUUUUUUAUACAAUUUCUAGAAGUACCUGUAGCCUCUCUUAAGCCAUAAAUAGAAGGAUGAUAUGCUUCAGCGCACAAAAACUUACGUUUUCCUACAUUAGCAAUUGAGUUAAAACUCGAUCGGUAAGAUUUUAAAGAAAACAAAAUAAAUAAAAACUAAUCCCCCAAUUUACCGUCCACAGUAGUUCUGACAUUAUUAUAUGAUCUUCAAAUCUUUAUAAUCUAUACUAUAUAUAUAGAAUACAGACACUUGCAGCAUGUAAUAAAGCAAACCAUGAUGAUGACCUAAAUUUUAUGUGAAAAUAUUAAACCAAGUAAGCAUCAUAAACAACAAUCCUGUCCAUGACCUUGGCCACACUAUCUUUGGACUCCUUUAACACCUUGAUGCUGUUUUUAAGAUUCUCACGCUUUGCAACAAUGGCAGGAGAUUCCACCAGCAUCUUCUCCAUCCCAUGUCCAUCUGGUCCCAUCAGCUCCUUCACAAUCUCAUCAAUGUCAUUGUUUACAAGAUUAUGAACACAGUAUUGUAAAUGCAAUGCCAUGGAAUCAACCAAUCUAACUUUAAAUAUCUUCCAAUAAGCAACUGUUCUCAUCUUCAGAUCGAAAGCUUGUUGCAGGAUCAAAACGUUGGAGUGUUGUCUGAGAUGUUCGACUUGGAUUUUUCCGAAACCUUGGACUUCCCUGAGACAUUGGAUUUCUCUGAAACCUUGGAGAUCCUCAGGGUAAGGUGGCAACAUCAUGUCUGUUCCAGUUAUUUGGUUUAUGAAAUAGUCUUGUUGGUUCAUGAGCUCAUUCCACUCCCUCAUGUAAUCAGGGUUACAUGUAUAGCCUGUUAGUUUCUCCAUUUCUACAAUCUCUUUCACCCUAUUGAUUGAUUGCUCCCUCAGCUUUUGAACAAGAUUGUGAGCGGCUCCUUUCGCCGAUACCUUGAGCUGAUAAUACAUUUCCGAGUGGCGCGUCAAAACAGACGUCACCACAUCGUCUAUGUAAUCCCAAUACUUUUCGGUGAAUUUGAUAGGGAGAUACGAUAUCCUCUCGACUUUUCUCCGGAAGAUACGAAGGAAUGCUUCACAGGGAAGGAAGUUCGGUAGUUCGAUCCUCUUAGCAUCUUCCAAACCCUUGAUCUCUUCUGUUAAAAAGUCUUUCGACAGAUUACUUUCCUCGCAGUUGUGAAGUUCAUCGGAGAACCGGUUCAGCAUUUCCACAAACCGAGCAGUCCCGUGCUUCGUGUUGUCCUUGGGGUAUUCAUCAAAUUCCCAUCUCCAAAGAAGUUUCUUGAGGGAUUCUUUAGCUGCUUGAAUGAUCCACAUCAUAGCUUUAGUUGCAUCAGCAAUUGAAGUUAAGACCUUUGGCAUUUUCUCUAGCUCUGAAACAUUUGCAUCCAGCUUUGCACUAAUGUUUUUAACAAUCUCUGGAGAGCACUUUGCGAUUUCAUUAGCUUGAAUUUGAACAAGCUUUUGAGCCAAAACAUGAACACCCACAAUUGAUUUAUCAAUACAUAACAAAUGUGCAUUAGUUUCGAACAAUCUAGCCUCUUCCUUCCUUGCUUCUUCAUAGGAUUCAUCACCAAUCCGAUUCCGAACACAAACAUAUCCAAGUCCUAUAUUCACAUCAUCUGCAGUGUUGCGCGGAAGCGUGUGAAAGAGUAAAAUUAUUGUACUGAAAAAUCACACUAAGUUUAAUUCCCAGGAAAGAGAGGUGGAUCACGAGGAUCGCUUACAUACCAGAUCUUUCCUAGCCAGAAUAUCCCUCUAUCGUAAUUUAAUAGCACAAUAAAUCACUACAAUGACACUUGCAAAAAUAUGCAGAACAAAAAAUAAAGAACACUAGAAUUUUAACGAGGUUCAGCAAAUUUUGCCUACGUCCUCGGGCACUACCAAAUAUAUUUCACUCCAAAAAUACAAGUGAAAGUUUACAAAUAGGGAGAGAGAACAAUUGCCUUAAGUAGAGAAUGGCAAGUGUGGGAUGAAGAAAGUAAGAAAUGGUUAGGCCUAUUUAUAGUUGAGGUUUAAGGAUCAACUUGCAAUGUCCCUAUACAAUUAGGGACCAAAAUUACAAUUAUCCCAUGCCAACUAAUCUUACUUUCUACUUUCGGUGCCUUUCGGUGCCAACUUUCUGUCACUAUUCAUCUUUGAAAAGUCAAAGAUUGUAGGUAUCCAAUAAUCUCCACCUUGAAGAUUUGAUUAGGAUAAUCUUAUCUUCACACAAUUCUUUCUACCUUUGACAACAAUACUUGAUAGUGCCUUCUUCAACUGUUAAACUUGCAGGAUAUUGAUCAAGUUCAAACAAUGUUCGAACUUGGUUGUUGUUACCACCUUGGUCAUCAUAUCUGCGGGAUUAUCUGCAGUCUUGAUCUUCUGAAGACAAAUUUUCCCCUCUUCAAUAAUUUUCCACACAAAAUGGAAUCGUACGUCGAUAUGUUUUGUACGUGCAUGAUAGACUUGAUUCUUUGCUAAAUGAAUAGCACUUUGACUAUCACAAUACACGUUAAUAUGCUCCUGAACCAACCCCAAGGUUUUAGCCAUACCUUGUAACCAAAUAGCCUCCUUUACAGCCUCUGUUACAGCCAUGUAUUCGGCUUCUGUGGUUGACAAUGCAACUGUAGACUGUAGUGUAGACUUCCAACUUAUUGGUCCUCCAGCAAGUGUAAACACAUAACCGGUGGUUGAUCUUCGCUUGUCCAAAUCACCGGUAUAGUCAGAAUCAACGUACCCAAUAACACAUUUACCAAGUGUAUUAUCCUGCUUGAACAGUAAUCCAACAUCCACGGUCUUCUGAAUAUACCGUAGAAUCCAUUUCACAGCUUGCCAAUGUCCUUUUCCAGGAUUAUGCAUAUACCUGCUCACUAUACUAACUGCCUGUGAAAUGUCGGGUCUUGUACACACCAUUGCAUACAUCAAGCUACCCACUGCAUUAGAAUACGGAACUUGCAACAUGUAUUCUCGUUCCGUAUUCGUCGAAGGAGAUAGUUGUGCAGAAAGCUUGAAAUGAGAAGCCAACGGGGUACUUACAGGUUUGGUCUGCUCGUUCAUGCCAAACUGCUGUAGUACUUUCUUCAAAUACUGCUUCUGAGACAAGCUAACUCUGCCAUGAGCUCUAUCUCUACAUAUUUCCAUGCCGAGAAUCUUUUUAGCUUCUCCUAGAUCUUUCAUCUCAAACUCGAGAUUGAGUUGAGUCUUCAAUCUUUCAAUCUCAACUUUGCUCUUAGAUGCUAUUAGCAUAUCAUCAACAUAUAAGAGCAAGUAUAUGAAAGUUCCUUCUUGUAGCUUCUGAAAAUACACGCAAUGAUCAAAUUUACUUCUUGUGUACCUUUGCCCUUUCAUGAACUGAUCAAAUCGCUUGUACCACUGCCUCGGAGAUUGCUUCAAUCCAUAAAGCGACUUUGUCAGUUUGCAAACCCAAUUUUCUUUUCCAGCAACCUUGAAUCCAUCUGGCUGAGUCAUAUAGAUUUCCUCUUCCAAAUCACCGUGUAAAAACGCGGUCUUCACAUCAAGCUGAACUAGUUCAAGAUCAUAUUGCGCAACCAAGGCUAGCAAAAUCCGAAUAGACGAAUGCUUCACAACUGGAGAAAACACUUCAUUGUAGUCUAUUCCUUCUUUCUGAGUGUAACCCUUUGCUACCAAUCUAGCCUUGUAUCGAAUUUCAUUUUUACCAGGAAAUCCUUCCUUUUUUGCAUAUACCCAUUUGCAUCCAAUUGCCUUCUUUCCCUUGGGCAGUCUCACCAACUCCCAAGUCUUAUUUUUAUGAAGAGACUACAUUUCUUCAUUCAUAGCUUGCUUCCACUUUACACCAUCAGAGUUACUUAUUGCUUCUGUGUAAGUGGAAGGAACAUCAUCAUCUGCAAUUGGAAGUGCAUAGGCCACCAUAUCGUCAAAGCGAGCAGGCUUACGAAUCUCUCUUCUUGGCCUCCUAUAUGCAAUUGAAUCUUGUUGCUGUAGAAGUUCUUGGGUCGAAACUCCUUCAUCAUUUGUUCUUUCAAUAUUAGCUGGAUCAUCAUUAACCUUUUCAAACUCCACCUGCUGCAAAGUACUACUGGUUUUGUCAUCCUUUUGUGAAUCCUCGUUCUUCAUCAUGGUUGAUUCAUCAAAAGUUACAUCUCUACUGAAAACAAUCUUCCUUGUAUCAGGACACCAGAGACGGUAUCCUUUUACACCACCAGUUAUACCCAUGAAUAAUGCUUUCUUUGCUCUUGGGUCUAACUUAGAUUCUUUUACAUGAUAAUAUGCAGUGGAACCAAAAACAUGUAAAGAAUCAUAAUCAGUAGCAGGUUUACCAGUCCACAUCUCCAUAGGAGUUUUUUCAUUUAUUGCAGCUGAUGGCAAUCGGUUAAUUAGAUGGCACGCAUAUGUAACUGCCUCAGCCCAAAAUUCCUUGGCCAAUCCAGCAUUGGACAACAUACAUCGAACUUUCUCCAGUAUAGUCCGAUUCAUGCGUUCUGCCACCCCAUUCUGCUGUGGUGUAUCUCGAAUAGUGAAGUGUCGCACAAUGCCCUCAUCUUGACAUACUUGUAGAAAUGGAUCAUUUUUGUACUAAGUACCAUUAUCUGAUCGAAGUCGUUUGACCUUUCGACCUGUCUGAGUCUCCACCAUCUUCUUCCACUUCAGAAAUACAUCCAAAACUUCAUUUUUUCUUUUCAUUAGAUGCACCCAUACUUUUCUUGAAUAAUCAUCAAGAAAAGUGACAAAAUAGUGCAUACCUCCCAAAGAAGCCACUUUUGUAGGUCCCCACACAUCACUGUGAACAUAGUCCAGAAUUCCUUUCGUAUUGUGAAUUGCUGAACCAAAUUUUACCCUCGUCUGCUUGCCCAGAACACAAUGUUCACAGAAUUCCAAUUUGCAAGAAUUUUCACCUUUCAACAAGCCUUGCUUCGCCAAAGUCUGCAAAGCUUUUUCACCAGCAUGUCCCAAUCGUCUAUGCCAUAACCUGGUAGCCUCUGAAUCUGCAUCUUUCGCAGAAGCUGUUGAUGUUGAUCCAAUAACUGUACUUUCAUUUAAAUAGUACAAGUUAUUUCUUCUAGUGCUUUUCAUCACCGUCAAUACCCCUGCUACUACCUUUAGUAAUCCAUCUCUCAAAGUGAUUGUGAGCCCUUUAGAUUCUAGGGCCCCUAAUGAGAUGAGAUUUUUCUUCAAGCUGGGUACAUAGCGAACAUCUGUCAGAACUUGGAUUGAGCCGUCAUGGUUCUUCAAUUUGAUUGUACCUACACCCAUUGUCUUACAGGCACUAUCAUUGCCCAUAAAAACAACUCCACCUUCUAGUUCUUCAAGACUAGAAAACCAGUCCUUAUUAGGACACAUAUGGUAAGUACAUCCCGAAUCCAAUAUCCACUCAUCCGUUUGACAUGCCAUUGCCAUGCCAACCAAGCUAAAGUCUGACUCCUCAUCAUGCUCCGCUACACAUGCAUUAGAAAUAGACUUGCCCUUUUGUAACUUAGGACAAUUCUUUUUCCAAUGCCCUUUCUCACGACAAAAGGCACAUUCAUCUUUGGCGGGUCUCCCUUUGGACUUACCCCUUCUACCAGGUUUGCUGCUGUGUGAACGACCUCUUACUGUUAAGACUUCUGCAGUUGUAUCUCUGUGAUCUCUUUUAUCUUUCUUUCGAGUCUCAGAUCUAUACAACGCACUACAGACUGCAUCAAAUGUGAUUGAAUCUUUCCCAUGAAGCAAUGUGGUGGUAAGAUGAUCAUAUUCAUCAGGAAGGCAAUUCAACAACAAUAAUGCCUUGUCUUCAUCUUCAAAUUUCUCAUCCAAAUUUAGCAAGUCUGCUAAAAUUUUAUUGAAUGAGUUCACAUGAUCAUUCAUCGACAUACCGGGUGCAUACGUGAACCGAAAAAGUUUCUUUUUCAUAUAAAGCCUAUUUUCAAGACUUUUCGUUAGAAAUUUUUCUUCCAAUGUAUCCCACAGCUUCUUCGCUGAUGUCUCCCUCAUGACGGAGUACUUCUGCUCUUUGGCCAAACAUAGGCGGAUUGUACCACACGCCUGUCUAUUGAUCUUGGCCCACUCCUUAUCAUCCAUCUUGUCAGGUUUUUCUUCAAGGGCUAUAUCCAGCUCUUGCUGACAUAAGACAUCCAGGAUCUCACACUGCCACAUACCAAAAUUAUUGGUACUGUCAAAUUUCUCUACUUCAAAUUUUGCAUUUGUCACAGUAGUCCUUGCUGAUGACGAUGCUGCUGCCAUUUUUCUCCUCAAUCCCAACUACUGUAUACGUGAACAGUACUAUAUACGUGAAUAGUGCCGUAUACGUAAAUAGUACUGUAUACGUGAAUAGUGCCGUAUACGUGAAUAGUGCCGUAAACGGUCGUAUUCCCCAAGUACGAACCUGGCUCUGGUACCAAUUGUUGCGCGGAAGCGUGUGAAAGAGUAAAAUUAUUGUACUGAAAAAUCACACUAAGUUCAAUUCCCAGGAAAGAGAGGUGGAUCACGAGGAUCGCUUACAUACCAGAUCUUUCCUAGCCAGAAUAUCCCUCUAUCGUAAUUUAAUAGCACAAUAAAUCACUACAAUGACACUUGCAAAAUAUGCAGAACAAAAAAUAAAGAACACUAGAAUUUCAACGAGGUUCAGCAAAUUUUGCCUACGUCCUCGGGCACUACCAAAUAUAUUUCACUCCAAAAAUACAAGUGAAAGUUUACAAAUAGGGAGAGAGAACAAUUGCCUUAAGUAGAGAAUGGCAAGUGUGGGAUGAAGAAAGUAAGAAAUGGUUAGGCCUAUUUAUAGUUGAGGUUUAAGGAUCAACUUGCAAUGUCCCUAUACAAUUAGGGACCAAAAUUACAAUUAUCCCAUGCCAACUAAUCUUACUUUCUACUUUCGGUGCCUUUCGGUGCCAACUUUCUGCCACUAUUCAUCUUUGAAAAGUCAAAGAUUGUAGGUAUCCAAUAUGCAGUAACCUUGUCAACAAGCCCUUCAGGGGCCCUAUCUACUUUAGUAACCACAGCAAGAGUUCUCUCACCAUUCUUGUCCACUUGUUGCGACAUCCGAAUGGAUUCACAAGUUGAAAAAUCGACCGUGGCCGACAGAACAUUAAGGAUAAUGCUUUCCUUUGGUGUUAUGUACUGCAUGAUGAUGUCCCUGAUCUGCUCAUAUAUGUUGUUAGGCUGACCAUGGACAGGAACUCUGGUAAUUCCAGGAAGAUCAACCAUGGUAAGAUCAGGAACCCCAUCUUUUCUCACCACUAAAGUUAAAGGGGUGUCAGAUAUGCUCUUACCCGGGCCCGCAAUCUCAUCAGUUGCGAUGUUUAUGGCUGUUGCAAUCUGGGGUUCCUCCACUGGGACCAUUUUGCCAUUGUACUCCAAGUAAAGCUCUGGCCUUGGACUUGCAUGGUUCUGCAACCUGAUUAUGAGAGGUACCCUGGUGCAAAUUCCCUGGCUACGAGGAAGGUUAACGCCAGCCAAGGAUUCAAGAACACUAGACUUGCCUGAUGACUGGUCUCCGACCACAACAAUUGUGGGGAGCUGUAUGCCUUCUUUCAUCACCAUGAGCAGCCUGAGCCUGUCGAUGACAUCAAGCAAAGGUCGGAUUUUGUCGUUGAAUGAUGAAAUAAUUGGGGCUUGAGCUGCUGCUGCUGUCACCACCCUAGGUUGGUCCAUAGGAGGAGUUGCUGGUUGAGAAUCUUCAUAAUCAUUGAUGAAACCCAUGCUCCCUGAAUCAGCUUCAUCAUAGCUACCCAUUUUUUAGAAGUCGAGACAGGAGUGGGAAUUGGCCAAACUUGAUGUUUUAGAUGGUUUUUUUGUUGGAAGUUGGAAAGCAACAAGUUUUAACUUAAGUGAAGACAAACUCAAUGAAGCAUGCUUGGCUUGAUAAUGACAAUUAAAAUAGGGUAAAGCACCAAAAAUAGGAUCAAUAAGGUGAUAGCAUCCUAUACCAAAUCCCAAGAAACAUUCAGAGGAAGCUACAAUGGGAAUGGAAACUUUAUGUUAUACUUUUUAUUGUAGAAAAUACAACUUAUAUUCUGUAUUGGAUUGUAGAGAAUAGUGAAACAAGGACGCAAGAGAGGAAAUAGAACAAAAUCAAAUCGGAACCAAUCAGACGAUGAGUGCGUCGAUAACAGAACAAGUUCCUACAAGAACUAGAUACCAAGUAUAUUUUUCUCUUUAUUCCUUGUUUUGUGGAUUAUAUAACGAAUAUUGAUGUACUAUAUUUUUCUCUUUAUUCCUUGUUUUUGGAUUAUAUAACGAAUAUUGAUGUACGAUAUUUUUCUCUUUAUUCCUUAUUUUUGGAUUAUUUAACGAAUAUUGAUGUACGAUAAUACUUUGGUAUUGUUUUUACGUCAAAACAAAUAUGAUAUUGGACUUCUUCCCCCAAACAUUUAGACUGAUCAGUUAUUAUUCGAAAAAUUUUACCUAAAUACCAUAUUAAUAGAUGAGAACAUCUGUAUUUAAAAAUAAAAAUCCAAAAAGAUGAUUGCAUACCAAGGCAUGGAACAUUGGAAUCUUGCUACACAAAAAAGCAAAACAUGCAAUAAGCAAACCAUGAUGAUGACCCAAAUUUUAUGUGAAAAUAUUUAAAUUUAAUUUGGGUUAUUUUACUGUAAAAUAUUUUAGCUUUGUCUCCUAUUUUUAUAAUUUUAUCUUAGCUUUUCAUCAUAUAAUUCAUGAUUUCGCCUGAUAUCGUGAGAUUUAAUGUUAAUAUUUUAAGUAUUCAAAUCUCGGAUAGUUUAUGAACAAAGUUUCGAAAGAAAGAUGAUGGAAUAUUGACCUUGCAGCUGUAUAAGAGCUAGAAAGUAAUAUUAUAAAAAGAUUGGAGAUUAUAAGUUAAACACUUGGAAUUAUUGAAAAGUUGUUGCAGGAAGUUCGGUAGUUCGAUCCCCACACUGUCGGAUUCGCUUUGAGAGUAUGUGAAAUUCAUUAUACUCUAGAGCUCUCAAAGGGGACAUGCAAAGAGGCUUCGAAAGAAAAUUGCAUGAAGUUCCCACAAUGUCUCAUUGGCUUCAUUUAGAUAUUUUAAUCUUUAAUCAUUUUAUUUUAUAUAAAAAAUUGAACUCAUAAAAAAUUUAUUUCAAAUUAUUCUAAUUUUUAUUUUUCAAUUUUUAGCGUAAAUAUUGAUUUUUGUGUAAUUUUUUGUAAUUCAAUUGUUAAAGUAUGUAGUUUCAUACAUAAUUAUUGUUGUUUCAAUUGUUAAAGUAUGUAGUUUCAUACAUAAUUAUUGUUGUUAAUUUAGAAUAGCUAUGAAUGGGGGAUGCAUUGAGUUUGAAAUAUUUUAAGUAAUUUAUCAAAUUUUAUAACAUUAGUUAAAAUUAAAAGAAUAUAUAUUUACUCUCUCUUUUUUCUCUUUGUAUCGAAUAUGGUGUCUGAUUCUGUUUUGAUAAUAUCUGCUUUUUUUGACAUAAUAUCUAGAAGUACCUGUAGCCCCUUUUUAAGCCAUAAAUAAGAGGAUAAUAUGCUUCUGCGCACAAAAACUUAUAUCUUCCUACAUUGACAAUUAAGUUAAGACUCGAUUGGCAAGAUUUUAAAGAAAACAAAAUAAAGAAAAACUAAUCCCCCAAUUUACCGUCCACAGUAGUUCUGACAUUAUUAUAUAAUCUUCAAUUCUUUAUAAUCUAUGCUAUAUAUAUAGAGUACAGACACUUGCAGCAUGUAAUAAAGCAAACCAUGAUGAUGACCUAAAUUUUAUGUGAAAAUAUUAAACCAAGUAAGCAUCAUAAACAACAAUCCUGUCCAUGACCUUGGCCGCACUAUCUUUGGACUCCUUUAACACCUUGAUGCUGUUUUUAAGCUUCUCACGCUUUGCAACAAUGGCAGGAGAUUCCACCAGCAUCAUCUUUAUCCCAUGUCCAUCUGGUCCCAUCAGCUCCUUCAUAAUCUCAUCAGUGUCAUUGUGUACAAGAUUAUGAACAUGGUAUUGCAAAUGCAAUGCCAUGGAAUCAACCAAUCUCACCUUAAAUAUCUUCCAAUAAGCAACCAUUCUCAUCUUCAGGGCGAAAGCUUGUUGCAGGAUCGAAACAUUCGAGUGUUGUCUGAGAUGUUCGACUUGGAUUUCCCCGAAACCUUGGAGGUUCACACAGCAAGGCAGCGGCCCCAUGUUUGUUCCAGAUAUUUGGUUUAUGAAAUGGUCUUGUUCCUUCAUGAGCUUAUUCCACUCCAUCAUGUAAUCAGGGUUACAUGUAUAGCCUGUUAGCUUCUCCAUUUCUACUAUCUCUUUCACCCUAUUGAUUGAUUGCUCCCUCAGCUUUUGAACAAGGUUGUGAGCAGCUCCUUUCGCGAAUACCUUGACGUGAUAAUACAUUUCCCAGUGGCGCGUCAAAACAGACAUCACCACAUCGUCUAUGUAAUCCCAAUACUUUUCGGUGAACUUGAUAGGGAGAUAUGAUAUCCUCUCGACUUUUUUCCGUAAGAUACGAAGGAAUGCUUCAAAGGGAGGGAAGUUCGGUAGUUCGAUCCCCUUAGCAUCUUCCAAACCCUUGAUCUCUUCUGUUAAAAAGUCUUUUGAUAGAUUACUUUCCUCGCAGUUGUGAAGCUCAUCGGAGAACCGGUUCAGCAUUUCGACAAACCGAGCAGUCCCGUGCUUCGUGUUGUCCUCGGGGUAUUCAUCAAAUUCCCCCCUCCAAAGAAGCUUCUUGAGGGAUUCUUUAGCUGCUUGAAUGAUCCUCAUCAUAGCUUGAGUGGCAUCAGCAUCAGAAGUUAAGGCCUUUGGCAUUUUCUCUAGCUCUGAAACAUUUGCUUCCAGCUUUGCACUAAUGUUUUUAACAAUCUCAGGCAAGCACUUUGCAAUUUCAUUAGCUUGAAUUCGGACAAGCUUUUGAGCCAAAACAUGAACACCCACAAUUGAUUUAUCAAUACAUGACAAAUGUGCAUUAGUUUCGAACAAUCUAGCCUCUUCCUUCCUUGCUUCUUCAUAGGAUUCAUCACCAAUCCGAUUCCGAACACAAACAUAACCAAGUCCUAUAUUCACAUCAUCUGCAGUAACCUUGUCAACAAGCCCUUCGGGGGCCCUAUCUACUUUAGUAACCACAGCAAGAGUUCUCUCACCAUUCUUGUCCACUUGUUGCGACAUCCUAAUGGAUUCACAAGUUGAAAAAUCAACCGUAGCCGACAGAACAUUAAGGAUAAUGCUUUCCUUUGGUGUUAUGUACUGCAUGAUGAUGUCCCGGAUCUGCUCAUAUAUGUUGUCAGGCUGACCAUGGACAGGAACUCUGGUAAUUCCAGGAAGAUCAACCAUGGUAAGAUCAGGAACCCCGUCUUUUCUCACCACCAAAGUCAAAGGGAUGUCAGAUAUGCUCUUACCCGGGCCUGCAAUCUCAUCAGUUGCAAUGUUUAUGGCUGUUGCAAUCUGGGGUUCCUCCACUGGGACCAUUUUGCCAUUGUACUCCAAGUAGAGCUCUGGCCUUGGCCUUGCAUGGUUCUGCAACUUGAUUAUGAGAGGUACCCUGGUGCAAAUUCCCUGGCUACGAGGAAGGUUAACACCAGCCAAGGAUUCAAGAACACUAGACUUGCCUGAUGACUGGUCUCCAACCACAACAAUUGUGGGGAGCUGUAUGCCUUCUUUCAUCACCAUGAGCAGCCUGAGCCUGUCGAUGACAUCAAGCAAAGGUCGGAUUUUGUCAUUGUAUGAUGAAAUAAUUGGAGCUUGAGCUGCUGCUGCUCCCACCACAUUAGGUUGUUCCAUAGGAGGAGUUGCUGGUUGAGAAUCUUCAUAAUCAAUGAUAACAUCAAUGCUCCCUGAAUCAGAUUCAUCAUCGCUACCCAUUUUUUAGAAGUCGAGACAGGAGUGGGAAUUGGCCAAACUUGAUGUUUUUUAUGGUUUUUUUGUUGGAAGUUGGAAAGCAAUAAACUUAAACUAAAGUGAAGAAAAAUUCAAUGAAGCAUAUUUGGCUUUAUAAUGAAAAUUAAAAUAGGGUAAAGCACCAAAAAUAGGCACAAUAAAGCGAUAGCAUCCUAUACCAAACCCCAAGAAACAAUCAAAGGAAGCUACAAUGGGAAUGGAAAACUUUAGGUUAUACUUUGAAUUGUAGAAAAUACAUCUUAUAUUCCGUAUUGGAUUGUAGAAAAUAAUGAUACAAGGACAGAAGAGAGGAAACAGAUCAAAAUCAAAUCGUGACCAACCAAAAGAUGAGUGUGUCGAUGACAGAAAGUUCGAAACAUAAACAGCCCCACUAAUUCCUACAGGAACUACACAGCAGAACUAUAUGAAACAAUGUAUUCACAUUGAAGUUUCGGAUAGAUGUCACGUACAAGCCAUGUUGCCAUUAACUCAUAUGCUCUUUGUGUCAAAUGAACUCCAUCCCAACUAAGCCGUUCAUUAGGGUUUUCGCAUACCGGUACUUUUGGAUCUCCGCACCAACUUGAUAAGCCAUAAUUGUAGUCUCCCCCAAUUCCGCAGCAAGCCUUUUGCAAUGAUAUUGGAUCAAAACCUAAUGAGAUUUUUCGAAAACUCAGAACAUGACUAGAACCAUUCACAGUACGGUCUCAUAAACUUAUGGAUGCAAAUAAAUCAGACUUACCAAGCAGAUCAGCUUUGCUCAAAAGCCACAGGAAUGCAUUGUAGUAGUCACCGUAGACAACGGUUUCAUCUGGAUGUUCUUCUUUUAGCUCAGCAAUAGCUUGUUGAAGAAGAUAAUUAUGAUAGAUUGAAAAAUUAUUCAACUCCUUUAAACAAUGAAGUUCAUCAUAAGCAGUAGAAUCAUUUGUUUGGUAUUUGGUGAGAUAUACAGGAAAGCAGCCUAUGGGGAAGUUUCCAGGAACAACUAACCGAGUAGCACCAUAUCCGAUAACUCUCUACACAGUGGAACUUAUGAGAAACAGGGUUUCAAUGAUUAGAAGUGAUAUAAUCAGAUGUCUCUUGAAAGGAAACUUACUUUGGUAGCUUGUUUUAUCGUUUCUACUACCUCGGGCACCAUGGUCUUAACCUCUUCUAUGGUUUUUCCUUGCCAAAAGGCGUAGUUAUAGUCAUUUCCUCCGAUCUCCCCAACCAUGAAAAGAGCUUUUCCAUUUUUCUUGAAGCAAUCUACCAAAUAUAACACCUCAAGUGGUUAUUUGUGUUAAUCCAUUCUGAACAUCGUUAUUAUACCUGAUUACCUAACCAGGAGGCCUCAUUAGACCAACCGCUCCAUCAUGGAGGUCUCGCCUGCAUGAUAGCUCAACCAACUAAAGACACUCAUGUGCCUUGUCACACGAGCCACCACAAGGUCAUAUCAAGAUCCACUCAGGACCUGCUCCUGUCACAUCUAGUACAGGCUCUAUCACUCGACCAUUAAGUCUACAAGAAUAAUCUAUCUUCAACCUCUGCUAGCAGCUCUUGACACUCACGUGUGAGCCACCUUCAACCUCUUCCACCACAUCCUAUAUCAACAAACAUAUAUAUAUAUAUAUAUAGGAAAGAUGCUAACCUUUGUUACCACGACAAGUUGUAUUGAAAUAGCUAAACAUCUAGUCAAGUUGUCUACUUAAAGAUAUGCUGGUAGGCACAAAGGAAACAUUCCACUUGGCUAAAUCUUCUGCAGACAUGGCAGUAGCUCCGGCAAACGCGAAAUUAAGCCCAUAAUCAAAUAAUCCAUCUUUGUUUAAGUAAGGAUCAAGAAAAGGAAUUCCAGCAGAUAGUGCUGUUCAAAUGUUCAAAACACGAAACAGUAAACACACUGGUUAAAAAAAAGUUAAUUAAACCAACAAAAAUCAAUACAAAUAUAAUCAUUAAUCAUCUUCCUAAACCUUUCUAGUAUGGGGUUGACACUUUUUUAGAGAAAAAAGAGAUUGAUUCUUCUCCAAGCAAUGCACCCAACGUGUAUGGUCUCAGUGAAGCUUUUGAUUAGAAUUUAGUAUUUUACCUAUAUAAUCAAUCAUCAACAAACCAUCGGAGCAUCUCCCAGUUGCUUUCUUGAAGGUUUCUCCAUAUGGUAACCUUGCAAAUUUUGAUAAAGGGUUGUCUUGCACAUCAUUACCCGUAUCUGCUAUGGAAUCCCCGAGCUGAUAUAUGGCAUCGAAAUUGCAGCUGCUAAGGAUAUGUUGAUUGUUGCAUGUAACGAAGUUGAAGAAAGAGAUGAUAAUUAGUAUAGAGAACACAAAACCUGGUGGUGAAGAUUUACUAGAAGCCAUAUAUGCAGAAAUGGUAUUACUGGGUAUUUAGCAUCUAAAUCUUAGCUCCCCCUAAAAAGGUAUAUAGUUGUGCUCCUACAGGUAGCUUUGAAUCAGGGACGGCACCAAAGGGGCAGUCAAAGGCCUUAGCACCCCCCAAACGGAAAAUUAUUAUUUUAGUCCCUUGAAAUUUUUUAAAUUAUAAGUUAGGUAAAAAUACACUUUGACCCCACAAGAUGAUUUUUUUUUAAUUUAAUUCUUUUAAGAUUAUAAAUAACAAACAUAUAGAAAGAUAAAAUUAUAUUUUAGCCUUUUUAAAAUUAUAUAAUUUAAUUUUAGCCUCAAAAAUAAAGUCUUGACUUGGUCCUUUCGUAUACCUACUCUUAGACAAAAAAAAAAUCAUUUUAUUUAAGCUUUUUGUUUAUUAAUAAUGAGUUUUUUUUUUCUCAAUGAUUCAUUAAAUACAAUUAAAAAAUAUUUGGAAGAGAAAUCUAGCAGUAGACUAGAUAGUUAAGAUGAUAUCUAACAGAGAGGUCGAUGUACGAGUGUUUGUUGAAGCUCCUAUGUAACUUUUAACAAUUUUACAAACUGAUAGAGGUAAUGGUUUCUUUGAUCAUUUAUUUUUAAUACGAGUAAAGAAACCUAAUUAUUUAAUUAUGGGUAAACUACACAAGGAGUCACCCAACUAUGAAGAGUUAAAAAAAAGACAAUGGUGGUAACUUUUAAAAUUAGCAUAAUAGCAAUUUAACCCUUAACAUUUAUAUAUUGUAUCAAUUUAGUCUUGAUUCUAUUUUUUUUUUAACUCUCAACAUUUACACAUUGUAUAAUUUAGUCUUUCUUUUUGUAAUUUUGUUUUUCUUUGUGACAUUGAGGGUUAAUUUUAAAAGAAAAAGAAAAGAUAAAAAGUAUUAUCUUGGAUUUCUGGGUGCUCCUAUUUUUUUAUAUAUUUUUAAUCAAAUUGAACUGAUAAAUUUAUUUUUAACUUUUUAGUUAAAAGAGUAAAGAAAAACAAAGUUGUACAAAAAAAAAAAUCAAACUACGCAAUGUAUAAAUGUUGAGAGUUAAUUGUUUGAGGAAACAAGAUUAAAUUGACAUAAUUUAUAAAUAUUAAGGGUUAAAGUUGAUAUUAUGCUAAUUUUUAAAAGUUGCCAUUGAUGAUCAGUGACCAAAAAAGACAAAAGCGAAUAAUUUAGUGAUCAUUUUGUAACUUUUCAUAAUUAAAUGACAAAAAAAUUACGUAAUUUAAUCUUUAAUUAUUUGUUUUGGACAUUGAUUAUUUAAUAACUAAUAACAUUCAAUAAUUGACGUUAAAAAAUUGUUUGUAUGAUGAAGUCAUUGUCAUCACCCAAAAGAUGUACAUAUAAAAGGAGUCACAAUCGGCCUCUACCAAAUUGAUUUUAGAAAGUAGACGCUAACUAUUUGAAAUAUAAUUGUUGUAUCUUAAUUUAUAAGUUAUUAUAUUAUUAUAUAAGCAUAAUUUUCUUUUGGUAGAUAAAGAUUAUUUCUUUCUAAAUAAUCUUUCAAAGUUAUUAAAUAAUCGUUGAAUUUUUUUGUAAUUUGGAGUACAAAAUUAAGUGAAUGUUAACGUGUUUGAGGCGAAUCUCGAUGAACAUGUCAUGCAAAUGCAACGCAUAGCUAAAGGAGUAGAUAAGAGCUUUAGACCUCUUAAAUGUCAGUUGUUCAAUUUAGUUCCUUUCUAGCUUUUAUUUAAAUGGAACAAUUGUAAUUUACACCCUUUUCAAAUGUUUAAAUUUAAUUUGGGUUAUUCUAAUGUAAAAAGUUUUAGCUUUGUCCCCUAUUUUUUUAAUUUUAUCUUGGCUCUUCAUCACAUAAUUCAUGACUUCGCCUGAUACUGUGAGACCCAAUGUUAAUAUUUUAAGUAUUCAAAUCUCGGAUCGUUUAUGAACAAAAUUUUGAAAGAAAGAUGAUGGAAUAUUGACCUUGUAGCUGUAUAAGAGCUAGAAAGUAAUAUUAUAAAAAGAUUGGAGAUUAUAAGUUAAACACUUGGAAUUAUCGAAAAGUUGUUGCAGGAAGUUCGGUAGUUUGAUCGCCUUAGCUAACCUUCAAAGAUUCUUCAUCAAUUUAGACACCGAAAUCCCCACACUGUCAGAUUCGCUUUGAAAGAAGAGUAUGUGAAAUCCAUUAUACUCUAGAGCUCUCAAAGGGGCCAUGCAAAGAGGCUUCGAAAGAAAAUUGCAUGAAGUUCCCACAAUGUGUCAUUGGUUUCAUUAUGAUAUUUUAACCUUUAAUCAUUUUAUUUUAUAUAAAAAAAUUUGAACUGAUAAAAAAUUGAUUUCAAAUUAUUUCUAUUUUUAUUUUUCAAUUUUUAGUGUCAUUAUUAAUUUUUGUGUAAUUCAAUUGUUAAAGUAUGUAGUUUGACACAUAAUUAUUGUUGUUAAUUUAGGAUAGCCAUGAAUGGGAUGCAUUGAGUUUGAAAUAUUUUAAGUAAAUUAUCAAAUUUUAUAAUAUUAGUUAAAAUUAAAAGAAUAUAUAUUUACUCCUUUCUUUUUUUCUCUUUGUAUCUUGAUUUGUGGAUUAGGUAACGAAUAUUGGUGUCCAAUUAUGUUAUGAUAAUAUAUACUUUUUUUUAUACAAUUUCUAGAAGUACUUGUAGCCUCUCUUAAGCCAUAAAUAGAAGGAUGAUAUGCUUCAGCGCACAAAAACUUACGUUUUCCUACAUUAGCAAUUGAGUUAAAACUCGAUCGGCAAAAUUUUAAAGAAAACAAAAUAAAUAAAAACUAAUCCCCCAAUUUACCGUCCACAGUAGUUCUGACAUUAUUAUAUGAUCUUCAAAUCUUUAUAAUCUAUACUAUAUAUAUAGAAUACAGACACUUGCAGCAUGUAAUAAAGCAAACCAUGAUGAUGACCUAAAUUUUAUGUGAAAAUAUUAAACCAAGUAAGCAUCAUAAACAACAAUCCUGUCCAUGACCUUGGCCACACUAUCUUUGGACUCCUUUAACACCUUGAUGCUGUUUUUAAGAUUCUCACGCUUUGCAACAAUGGCAGGAGAUUCCACCAGCAUCUUCUCCAUCCCAUGUCCAUCUGGUCCCAUCAGCUCCUUCACAAUCUCAUCAAUGUCAUUGUUUACAAGAUUAUGAACACAGUAUUGUAAAUGCAAUGCCAUGGAAUCAACCAAUCUAACUUUAAAUAUCUUCCAAUAAGCAACUGUUCUCAUCUUCAGAUCGAAAGCUUGUUGCAGGAUCAAAACGUUGGAGUGUUGUCUGAGAUGUUCGACUUGGAUUUUUCCGAAACCUUGGACCUCCCUGAGACCUUGGAUUUCUCUGAAACCUUGGAGAUCCUCAGGGUAAGGUGGCAACAUCAUGUCUGUUCCAGUUAUUUGGUUUAUGAAAUAGUCUUGUUGGUUCAUGAGCUCAUUCCACUCCCUCAUGUAAUCAGGGUUACAUGUAUAGCCUGUUAGUUUCUCCAUUUCUACAAUCUCUUUCACCCUAUUGAUUGAUUGCUCCCUCAGCUUUUGAACAAGAUUGUGAGCGGCUCCUUUCGCCGAUACCUUGAGCUGAUAAUACAUUUCCGAGUGGCGCGUCAAAACAGACGUCACCACAUCGUCUAUGUAAUCCCAAUACUUUUCGGUGAAUUUGAUAGGGAGAUACGAUAUCCUCUCGACUUUUCUCCGGAAGAUACGAAGGAAUGCUUCACAGGGAAGGAAGUUCGGUAGUUCGAUCCUCUUAGCAUCUUCCAAACCCUUGAUCUCUUCUGUUAAAAAGUCUUUCGACAGAUUACUUUCCUCGCAGUUGUGAAGUUCAUCGGAGAACCGGUUCAGCAUUUCCACAAACCGAGCAGUCCCGUGCUUCGUGUUGUCCUCGGGGUAUUCAUCAAAUUCCCCUCUCCAAAGAAGUUUCUUGAGGGAUUCUUUAGCUGCUUGAAUGAUCCACAUCAUAGCUUUAGUUGCAUCAGCAAUUGAAGUUAAGACCUUUGGCAUUUUCUCUAGCUCUGAAACAUUUGCAUCCAGCUUUGCACUAAUGUUUUUAACAAUCUCUGGAGAGCACUUUGCAAUUUCAUUAGCUUGAAUUUGAACAAGCUUUUGAGCCAAAACAUGAACACCCACAAUUGAUUUAUCAAUACAUGACAAAUGUGCAUUAGUUUCGAACAAUCUAGCCUCUUCCUUCCUUGCUUCUUCAUAGGAUUCAUCACCAAUCCGAUUCCGAACACAAACAUAUCCAAGUCCUAUAUUCACAUCAUCUGCAGUAACCUUGUCAACAAGCCCUUCAGGGGCCCUAUCUACUUUAGUAACCACAGCAAGAGUUCUCUCACCAUUCUUGUCCACUUGUUGCGACAUCCGAAUGGAUUCACAAGUUGAAAAAUCGACCGUGGCCGACAGAACAUUAAGGAUAAUGCUUUCCUUUGGUGUUAUGUACUGCAUGAUGAUGUCCCUGAUCUGCUCAUAUAUGUUGUUAGGCUGACCAUGGACAGGAACUCUGGUAAUUCCAGGAAGAUCAACCAUGGUAAGAUCAGGAACCCCAUCUUUUCUCACCACUAAAGUUAAAGGGGUGUCAGAUAUGCUCUUACCCGGGCCCGCAAUCUCAUCAGUUGCGAUGUUUAUGGCUGUUGCAAUCUGGGGUUCCUCCACUGGGACCAUUUUGCCAUUGUACUCCAAGUAAAGCUCUGGCCUUGGACUUGCAUGGUUCUGCAACCUGAUUAUGAGAGGUACCCUGGUGCAAAUUCCCUGGCUACGAGGAAGGUUAACGCCAGCCAAGGAUUCAAGAACACUAGACUUGCCUGAUGACUGGUCUCCGACCACAACAAUUGUGGGGAGCUGUAUGCCUUCUUUCAUCACCAUGAGCAGCCUGAGCCUGUCGAUGACAUCAAGCAAAGGUCGGAUUUUGUCGUUGAAUGAUGAAAUAAUUGGGGCUUGAGCUGCUGCUGCUGUCACCACCCUAGGUUGGUCCAUAGGAGGAGUUGCUGGUUGAGAAUCUUCAUAAUCAUUGAUGAAACCCAUGCUCCCUGAAUCAGCUUCAUCAUAGCUACCCAUUUUUUAGAAGUCGAGACAGGAGUGGGAAUUGGCCAAACUUGAUGUUUUAGAUGGUUUUUUUGUUGGAAGUUGGAAAGCAACAAGUUUUAACUUAAGUGAAGACAAACUCAAUGAAGCAUGCUUGGCUUGAUAAUGACAAUUAAAAUAGGGUAAAGCACCAAAAAUAGGAUCAAUAAGGUGAUAGCAUCCUAUACCAAAUCCCAAGAAACAUUCAGAGGAAGCUACAAUGGGAAUGGAAACUUUAUGUUAUACUUUUUAUUGUAGAAAAUACAACUUAUAUUCUGUAUUGGAUUGUAGAGAAUAGUGAAACAAGGACGCAAGAGAGGAAAUAGAACAAAAUCAAAUCGGAACCAAUCAGACGAUGAGUGCGUCGAUAACAGAACAAGUUCCUACAAGAACUAGAUACCAAGUAUAUUUUUCUCUUUAUUCCUUGUUUUGUGGAUUAUAUAACGAAUAUUGAUGUACUAUAUUUUUCUCUUUAUUCCUUGUUUUUGGAUUAUAUAACGAAUAUUGAUGUACGAUAUUUUUCUCUUUAUUCCUUAUUUUUGGAUUAUUUAACGAAUAUUGAUGUACGAUAAUACUUUGGUAUUGUUUUUACGUCAAAACAAAUAUGAUAUUGGACUUCUUCCCCCAAACAUUUAGACUGAUCAGUUAUUAUUCGAAAAAUUUUACCUAAAUACCAUAUUAAUAGAUGAGAACAUCUGUAUUUAAAAAUAAAAAUCCAAAAAGAUGAUUGCAUACCAAGGCAUGGAACAUUGGAAUCUUGCUACACAAAAAAGCAAAACAUGCAAUAAGCAAACCAUGAUGAUGACCCAAAUUUUAUGUGAAAAUAUUUAAAUUUAAUUUGGGUUAUUUUACUGUAAAAUAUUUUAGCUUUGUCUCCUAUUUUUAUAAUUUUAUCUUAGCUUUUCAUCAUAUAAUUCAUGAUUUCGCCUGAUAUCGUGAGAUUUAAUGUUAAUAUUUUAAGUAUUCAAAUCUCGGAUAGUUUAUGAACAAAGUUUCGAAAGAAAGAUGAUGGAAUAUUGACCUUGCAGCUGUAUAAGAGCUAGAAAGUAAUAUUAUAAAAAGAUUGGAGAUUAUAAGUUAAACACUUGGAAUUAUUGAAAAGUUGUUGCAGGAAGUUCGGUAGUUCGAUCCCCACACUGUCGGAUUCGCUUUGAGAGUAUGUGAAAUUCAUUAUACUCUAGAGCUCUCAAAGGGGACAUGCAAAGAGGCUUCGAAAGAAAAUUGCAUGAAGUUCCCACAAUGUCUCAUUGGCUUCAUUUAGAUAUUUUAAUCUUUAAUCAUUUUAUUUUAUAUAAAAAAUUGAACUCAUAAAAAUUUAUUUCAAAUUAUUCUAAUUUUUAUUUUUCAAUUUUUAGCGUAAAUAUUGAUUUUUGUGUAAUUUUUUGUAAUUCAAUUGUUAAAGUAUGUAGUUUCAUACAUAAUUAUUGUUGUUUCAAUUGUUAAAGUAUGUAGUUUCAUACAUAAUUAUUGUUGUUAAUUUAGAAUAGCUAUGAAUGGGGGAUGCAUUGAGUUUGAAAUAUUUUAAGUAAUUUAUCAAAUUUUAUAACAUUAGUUAAAAUUAAAAGAAUAUAUAUUUACUCUCUCUUUUUUCUCUUUGUAUCGAAUAUGGUGUCUGAUUCUGUUUUGAUAAUAUCUGCUUUUUUUGACAUAAUAUCUAGAAGUACCUGUAGCCCCUUUUUAAGCCAUAAAUAAGAGGAUAAUAUGCUUCUGCGCACAAAAACUUAUAUCUUCCUACAUUGACAAUUAAGUUAAGACUCGAUUGGCAAGAUUUUAAAGAAAACAAAAUAAAGAAAAACUAAUCCCCCAAUUUACCGUCCACAGUAGUUCUGACAUUAUUAUAUAAUCUUCAAUUCUUUAUAAUCUAUGCUAUAUAUAUAGAGUACAGACACUUGCAGCAUGUAAUAAAGCAAACCAUGAUGAUGACCUAAAUUUUAUGUGAAAAUAUUAAACCAAGUAAGCAUCAUAAACAGCAAUCCUGUCCAUGACCUUGGCCGCACUAUCUUUGGACUCCUUUAACACAUUGAUGCUGUUUUUAAGCUUCUCACGCUUUGCAACAAUGGCAGGAGAUUCCACCAGCAUCAUCUUUAUCCCAUGUCCAUCUGGUCCCAUCAGCUCCUUCAUAAUCUCAUCAGUGUCAUUGUGUACAAGAUUAUGAACAUGGUAUUGCAAAUGCAAUGCCAUGGAAUCAACCAAUCUCACCUUAAAUAUCUUCCAAUAAGCAACCAUUCUCAUCUUCAGGGCGAAAGCUUGUUGCAGGAUCGAAACAUUCGAGUGUUGUCUGAGAUGUUCGACUUGGAUUUCCCCGAAACCUUGGAGGUUCACACAGCAAGGCAGCGGCCCCAUGUUUGUUCCAGAUAUUUGGUUUAUGAAAUGGUCUUGUUCCUUCAUGAGCUUAUUCCACUCCAUCAUGUAAUCAGGGUUACAUGUAUAGCCUGUUAGCUUCUCCAUUUCUACUAUCUCUUUCACCCUAUUGAUUGAUUGCUCCCUCAGCUUUUGAACAAGGUUGUGAGCAGCUCCUUUCGCGAAUACCUUGACGUGAUAAUACAUUUCCCAGUGGCGCGUCAAAACAGACAUCACCACAUCGUCUAUGUAAUCCCAAUACUUUUCGGUGAACUUGAUAGGGAGAUAUGAUAUCCUCUCGACUUUUUUCCGUAAGAUACGAAGGAAUGCUUCAAAGGGAAGGAAGUUCGGUAGUUCGAUCCCCUUAGCAUCUUCCAAACCCUUGAUCUCUUCUGUUAAAAAGUCUUUUGAUAGAUUACUUUCCUCGCAGUUGUGAAGCUCAUCGGAGAACCGGUUCAGCAUUUCGACAAACCGAGCAGUCCCGUGCUUCGUGUUGUCCUCGGGGUAUUCAUCAAAUUCCCCCCUCCAAAGAAGCUUCUUGAGGGAUUCUUUAGCUGCUUGAAUGAUCCUCAUCAUAGCUUGAGUGGCAUCAGCAUCAGAAGUUAAGGCCUUUGGCAUUUUCUCUAGCUCUGAAACAUUUGCUUCCAGCUUUGCACUAAUGUUUUUAACAAUCUCAGGCAAGCACUUUGCAAUUUCAUUAGCUUGAAUUCGGACAAGCUUUUGAGCCAAAACAUGAACACCCACAAUUGAUUUAUCAAUACAUGACAAAUGUGCAUUAGUUUCGAACAAUCUAGCCUCUUCCUUCCUUGCUUCUUCAUAGGAUUCAUCACCAAUCCGAUUCCGAACACAAACAUAACCAAGUCCUAUAUUCACAUCAUCUGCAGUAACCUUGUCAACAAGCCCUUCGGGGGCCCUAUCUACUUUAGUAACCACAGCAAGAGUUCUCUCACCAUUCUUGUCCACUUGUUGCGACAUCCUAAUGGAUUCACAAGUUGAAAAAUCAACCGUAGCCGACAGAACAUUAAGGAUAAUGCUUUCCUUUGGUGUUAUGUACUGCAUGAUGAUGUCCCGGAUCUGCUCAUAUAUGUUGUCAGGCUGACCAUGGACAGGAACUCUGGUAAUUCCAGGAAGAUCAACCAUGGUAAGAUCAGGAACCCCGUCUUUUCUCACCACCAAAGUCAAAGGGAUGUCAGAUAUGCUCUUACCCGGGCCUGCAAUCUCAUCAGUUGCAAUGUUUAUGGCUGUUGCAAUCUGGGGUUCCUCCACUGGGACCAUUUUGCCAUUGUACUCCAAGUAGAGCUCUGGCCUUGGCCUUGCAUGGUUCUGCAACUUGAUUAUGAGAGGUACCCUGGUGCAAAUGCCCUGGCUACGAGGAAGGUUAACACCAGCCAAGGAUUCAAGAACACUAGACUUGCCUGAUGACUGGUCUCCAACCACAACAAUUGUGGGGAGCUGUAUGCCUUCUUUCAUCACCAUGAGCAGCCUGAGCCUGUCGAUGACAUCAAGCAAAGGUCGGAUUUUGUCAUUGUAUGAUGAAAUAAUUGGAGCUUGAGCUGCUGCUGCUCCCACCACAUUAGGUUGUUCCAUAGGAGGAGUUGCUGGUUGAGAAUCUUCAUAAUCAAUGAUAACAUCAAUGCUCCCUGAAUCAGAUUCAUCAUCGCUACCCAUUUUUUAGAAGUCGAGACAGGAGUGGGAAUUGGCCAAACUUGAUGUUUUUUAUGGUUUUUUUGUUGGAAGUUGGAAAGCAAUAAACUUAAACUAAAGUGAAGAAAAAUUCAAUGAA
This 62482-nucleotide long non-coding RNA is filed under the name Gossypium barbadense (sea-island cotton). RNAcentral describes it as "long non-coding RNA (GBAR_LNC022118)". Lineage: Eukaryota; Viridiplantae; Streptophyta; Magnoliopsida; Malvales; Malvaceae. The record is from RNAcentral.